This 65863-nucleotide long non-coding RNA is filed under the name Eucalyptus grandis. RNAcentral's name for it is "long non-coding RNA (EGRA_LNC004260)". The record is from RNAcentral. Lineage: Eukaryota; Viridiplantae; Streptophyta; Magnoliopsida; Myrtales; Myrtaceae.
GGGAGAUUGAACAUGCCGGAGAGAAUUCAAAUUCCGUGACUGCAUCGACGAGACCAUCCACCAAGAGCACAAAAAGUUCAACAGAUGCUCCCAUGCGUAAUCUUGUGAACCUGGUCAUCGGGAUUCUCCUGUUGAUCGCCUUCACUUACCUUCACCUGCCAAGUAUUUGAUUUAUGAUUUUCACUGCUAUUUGCCCUGAGUGUGAUGCAGUAUCAUUGACAAGUACGAUUGUCAUAAAGGGUUUUGUACGUCGUGUCACAAUUCGUGUGUAUGUAGCUUGUCCUCCUUUCGAUGCUAAUGCUUUGUACUUCUUUUUGCAAUAACGGAACUUGAAGAUCUCACUAGAUGUGAGGCUGCUCUGUAAUUUACUUUCUACGCUCUCUGCUGCAUAUAAUGUGAAGAAUCAACAAGUUGCCAUAUUGAUGUCUCCUUUAAUUUACUUUCAGUCCAUCAUUCAUGUAUUUCUUUAGUUUAUCAAACUCAACAAAGGAUUGAUCACAUGAGAUGGGUUGUUUUUGUGGGCGCGGUCCAUGGACACAGCAUGCAAACUAAUCAGUCUACACAAGGCAAAGCCUACUUUGUAAAGUUAAAUCUGAGUCUUCCUAGAAUCACACACGUACUCAGAACACUAAAAACAACAAAUGAAGACCCAGAAUACAUUUCAACGGACACUGAAUUUUAAGAGUGAGAAAUAGGGGAGAGCUUAUAUUUAGAGACAUUCGGUACACCGGUGACCUAUGUCAAGCUGCCCAACAAAAUCCAAAACAUAAUUUAUGAUGUGAGGAGGGCCAUAAACAUUUGGAUCACCUUAAGACAAGGUCCACCGUAGCACGUUCUCAUAUAUGUAACAAUAACCUGCAUUCUUUGCAAGCUAGGAAUGUCCUAGUAUAGAUGACAGUUCACAAGAGGAUUUCCAACAUAAUGGCCUCUCUCUCUCUCUCUCUCACACACACACACACACACACCCACCCACCAUUCACGCCAGCAGAGCAUUAUUGAUGAUAAAUCUUGACGGAACAGAUAGAGUGACUCAAUUGCACAAGGAAGAAAAUGAAAAGACAAUGCUGAAGGAACAGUGCAAGUUAGAGACCAUAUUCAGGCUUGACAGUUUAAAAAGAUUAAUUUACGCUGAUACCACUCUAGUUUCAACCAAAUUGUCAUUGUAUUUUCACCAAAAAUAUUUUUCCAGGGGUAUUAGAAAGUAUUUAGCUAGGGAGACUUUUCAUUCUAUCAAGUCCCGCGAGACAAUUCAAGGGAAAUAAUUGGUGAUUUGGGGGAGAUCUAGUCCUAUUUGUUUGAGAUAUAAAAAAGAAAGUAACUUACGGUGUUAUUGCGUUCCCUCCAAAUUAGAGUGGUGUUGAAAGUAGGAUUUUGGAAAUACAGGCGUGUUACAGUGAUUGAUCAAAUAAGAAGGGAAAAAGAUAGAAAAACAAUCCCAUAAAAUUGCCAUCUUUUACUCCUUUCUUUUGGCAGGAUGACCCCACAAGAGGAAUCUGUCCACAUGUGGGGAGGGAUAGAGAAGAAGAGAGUGGAAAAAGGACAUUCACAAGACUAUAAAGGACGAUAGCGAUGGCUAUAAAACUUCCUCAAGAAGGCGAACACAGUCUUGUAGAGUUCUGGGAAGAGGACAAAAGGGAAGAAAUAAGCAAGGGUAGAUGUGGGAUCCAUCAGGCACUGUUGAUUAACUUCUCCAGCAAGGGGAGGACUUCACCAGACAAAGUUGCUUGGAAUGAGUCAAGCGUCUAUUAUAAACAAGGACAGGUGGGAAUCUAUCAAGCACUAUGGAUUAACUUCUCAAGCGAGGGGGAGACUUCACCAGACGAAGUUGCUCGCCAUGAAUUUUAUACUAUAAAUUUAGCACUUUGAUGCUCAAGUUCCAAUGGCUAUAAAACUUCCUCAAGAAGGCGAACACAGUCUUGUAGAAUUCUGGAAAGAGGACAAAAGGGGAGGAAUAAACAAGGCUAGAUGUGGGAUCCAUCAGGCACUGUUGAUUAACUUCUCCGGCAAGGGGGAGACUUCACCAGACAAAGUUGCUUGGCAUGAGUCAAGCGUCUAUUAUAAACAAGGACAGGUGGGAAUCCAUCAAGCACUAUGGAUUAACUUCUCAAGGGGGAGACUUCACCAGACGAAGUUGCUCGCCAUGAAUUUUAUACUAUAAAUUUAGCACUUUGAUGCUCAAGUUCCACAAACAGCUCUAACCAAAGCCUCUCUCUCUCUCUCUCUCUCUCUCUCUCAGAGCUUAGCUAAGAAUCACCAAGAGAGUAUAGUGUCUGAAUAAUUUUGUUUGGUUGUCCUAGUUAUUGUUUACUACCCUAUUGGGAUUUUUAUUUCUUAUGGCAGUCUUCUAAUUAUGCCGUUUUACUCCUCUUUUAAUUGUUAAUUAUAGUGAUUGAUGAUGUUUUAGAGAUAACUUUAAAAGAUUUUAGAGCAAUGUGAUUUCUUUUCAAUUUUUCUGCAUCUAUUAUGGCUGACGAAUGUUAGAUAAGCAAAAUUUAGUCUCAACCUCUAAACACACCUUGGUGGUUCAGGACUUGGCUAACCAACUGGGAGAAAUUAUAAGUGAAGUUUUCCUCCUGGUACAAAGUUUCAUUUUAAUCGACGUCCUACACACUUAUUACAUUUUAGUCCCAUCUCUAACUUUUCACUACUAGAUUUGUCUCUCAUCUCUACUGUUUCACUGCUUUAUUAAGCUCCAUAAUAGAAGCGUGUAUGAUGUAUCAAGUACAGCGACUAAGCAAAACAGUCAGUGAGUGACUAAAAUGAAAAGAGAUGUGUAGAACAGGGAUGAUGACAUGUCUGCGCUUCUUACAUCUCUUCGUUUUUUGUUUUUUUUCCUUUGGUGUUUCCCUUGAUGAUUAGGAGUACGGCGAGAACAAAAACUAAUCUUUGCUGCAGAAAACACAAGAUGGAGAAAAAAAGGUAGUGCAAUUACGAAUGGAGUCUAGUUGCCAAUUCAGUUAGUCAUCUUCGAAGUUCACAUUAGUUGAAGUAGGCAAUUUUACGAGAAUUGCUGAUUUGACGAUAGUUAUAGGUCCCUGAUUUAGACUGUUAAUUCAUUUCCACGCACGGAUGUAACCUAAAUGCAUUGGUCAUGCCAGAAAGCUCGAAUGCCACGCACGAAUAUCACUAUUAUUUUUGCCGCUAGAAAAUCACUUCAUCCUGACGAACCAGUCCCCGAAUUUUUAUCAAAUAGCCAAAUAACCCAUUCAACGGCAUCUUCACUCAUUUUUUAGGAAUGGAAGUGUUCUGUCACAGAAAGAACUCGGUAGUUUGGUAUACACAUAAAAGUUCAGACUUGUGGAAUCAGUUUUCACUAGAAUUUACCCUGAUGGAUACACAUAUGUUCCUGUUAGUAUGAUAAAACUUGGGCAACAAAGAUUGAUUUGAUAUGAGUCGCUGUUCAGAUUUACCAAUCGAAGUAUGGUUGUAUAUUUUUUAUUUUGUUGGUGUAAAAUGUAAGUAUUAUUAAGCAAAUGAAGUACAAUAGCUUAGGGGCAGUCCCUAGUAUUACAAAUAGAGCUAAUAAUUUGAAAAGAUGGGAGGUAGGAAGUCUCCACAUAGUGGCCACAUCUAAUUGUGCUUGUUAAUUGUUUAAAUUUCGAUAAUCUCUUUGCUUUGUUUGGUGCUCCCUUCUUUUUCAUAGUGGCAUGGGAAAAUGGUGCUUUCGAUGCGGUGGCUCUGUAAUUAAUUCAAAUAAACGAAUUUGAUGAUGCUUUAUUCUUGACGAGAUUAAAUUCAAGUAUCUCCAUUCUGAAUCUUCUUGACUUAGCCAGACACCAGCUGUCUUUCUUUGUUUCUUUACUAAAAAGAAAAUGGGAGAGUUCUUGAAUGACCUAUGUCGCGACCCUUCUAAUGUGAAACAUAGGUGUCUUGCGAUACUAAUUGAAUUCAAUUUUGAUUAAUUUGAAAUUUCGAUAAGAAAUUACAUGAAAUUAUCCAAUUUGGCCUAUAUGUCCAAUUGCGUGUACCCAUGAUGUGAAGUCAUUAUUUUAUAUGUUAAUCAAGCAAUUAGGCCAAUAGAAAAUCACCGGAUCACAUUUAUAUGGUUUAAUUGGCCUAAUUACUUUAGAAUUAGAUCGUUUUUCCUCAAAUUGAGUAAAUUUUUCUUUCAAUUUGAUCAUUGAGGAACUAAAUUGCGUAAAAUGUAGCCCCCCAGGAUUGGCCAGCUCGGACCGCCCAAUAAUUGAUUAAACCGACUUAAACCGGUCCGACCGAUCGCUGGUAGAGGAGGCCAGUUUGGCCCUCUAUCGGCUGGCUCUUGGCGGCUGGCGACCACCCAUCGACUUCUCAUUGCGUGUAUUUCAUUUCUACAUCCCUCAAUUUUUCAGAUUUUGCUAAUAUACCCGUCAUUCAUGAAUACAAAAUUACCCCUAAUUAAGCUUUAAUCGUAACUUGAGUUUGAACUCCCGUUUUUUGCACAUCAAUACCAUCCGAAUGAUCAUGUGAUGUAUUUUGAUUAGGAUUAAUCUCUAAUGGGCUUAAUUCGGCCAUUCUAUCAAGUUUCGAUUGUCAAAUCGAAUCGAUGGUCGAGAUUUGAUCUCAAAUGAAGACUAUAAAGUUUUUCCCUCCAAAAAUCAUGCGAAUGGGUCAUUUUACAUCAAUUUCAGAUCUAAACAUAGAGUUUUCUCUUAAAAAUCUCUCUCUCCUCUCAUUUCCUGCCAUCCCCUAUCUAUGCACCUCCAUGUGCAAUCGGCCUCCGUCGGUUCACGGUCGCACGCUGGCAAUCCCGCUAUUGCUGCUUGGUUGCCCGGUGAUCCUCCUUCUCUGUCUAACCUGCUGGUGAUUGGAGCACCCCGUCCCGAUCACCUCAGCCACCCACACGAGCCCCUCCGUCCACGGCAAUUAAGAACGGCAAUUGAACCCCUGAUACUUCUCCUUGCUGAUCGACAAUCAACAGUGGUCCCUGAGAGGUCCGACCACCGCCGAUCAUCAGCUAAGAGAAUUCCUGACCUUGUAGUGGUCAGGGUCUAGUCGAAUUGUCACCAAACAAGUUCCAGUGACUUGCUUUCCCUCCAGCAGUCCAAACCAGGUCCAACCGGACCCAAUCCUAUUUAGCUCUUGAUCCGGUCCAACUGACAGAGAUCAAACCAAUUCUGGCGAGCCGUGGCGUCCAUUUGACAAUCCUCGAGGUUCAUAAGGAGAUUCGAGGCUUUGAUCCUCAAUCAUUCGUGUUCGAUUCAUUGAAAUCACAAAAGGUAACAAACUGAAAUACGAAUCCAAUGAAGCAAGAUUGAAAUAGUUGAUCGGGACUAGAAUUCAAACCUAGGAUCGUAUUUCAUGCUUAGAUCUGAAGAUUUGGAUGUUAUAUGAUGAUACAUGUUGAUGUUGUGUUGAUUGAAGAUGAGUUUGAACACAAUUGUUCAUAAUUUACCCUAUUCUGCAAAAGUCAUAUGUUGAAAAGUGACCUUCUGUUAAGGCUGAUGUGAGGCAUUAAACUUCGUUAUUUGGCCUUGGAUUGUUCUAGACAUAUGUCUAUGUUUGGUGAGUUUCGAUUUGAUAGGUUAUAGGCCCCGAAUGGAGUUUAUUCGAUACUUGAAUUACUUCUUGGAAGUUGGAAAAUUAUGCUAUUUUUGUGUAGUGUUGUGGUGUUCUAAUGUUUGAACAUGCUAUCUGUUUACUAAUUUUCUACUGAUUUUUGUGUUGGAAAAAUCUUCCCUAGGUCAGUCUUUCCUGUUUGAAUCCUACUCAUGUUUGCUUUGAAAUGAUUUCUUGAAUGUGCUCAAUUGGAUUCUCAUCAUUAAUGAAAUUUAUAGCAUGCAUUACAAGCUAUCUAAUUAGAUAUAAUUUGCGCCAAAUGAUCAUCGUUUACUAGGCUAAUCACGCAUGUGAAAACAUGUUCAUGCUGCUGCACUUUGUGAAAUUAAUUGCAUCAUCUUAUUUUGUCAUUUUCAUGUGGGUUUGUGUGGAUCAAACUAGAUUUAGGUGUCCUCGAGGAAAAUAAACAUGACAUUGCAUGCUAUAUGUAGGAUUUUUCAUGGGAUUUUAGCAUGUCAUUAAAUCAUUGAAAAUGACUCAUGUUUUGUGUUACACUUGCUAUGAUUAAGGUUAAUCACAAACCUAUGAAAACAUCUUCAGUUGAGCUUCUUAAGAGCCAAAUUAGUGCAUGAUGUUUUCUAGAUAUUUUAAGAGCAUAUCGCAAGCUUCUUAUUGAUAUAUGGCAUGCCUCAUUUGAAAGUCAUUUACCAUGAAAAAAUCAUGCAUCAAGUUGACAUAUCAUAACUGAAAUUGUCAUGCAUUUUGUCCUUAAUGACUAGGUCUUAUUAAUGUUAAUGAAUUCAUGUGACUUUUUGCAGUUUGAUUUAAGGUUAAAUGUAUUAACCAAACUUGUUCAUCACAUUUAAUCUUACAUCGUGUCUGAAUUUCGCAUUUUUCAUGCAUUGUUUAAGUGGUUUGACAAGUUGAUCAUCAUGCAUCAUUUUCUAAUUUGCUUAUGACUGAUUUGUAGCUUUUGCAAUUGUCGCUAUUGGAACAUGAAUUCAACUCUAAUUGAACUUGACACCUUUUAGAAAGUCUAAGGGCACGUCUUAAUCUUUCCAAUAAUGCCAAUUUUGCAUUAUUUGCAUGUCAUUUGACCUGUUUUCUAUUUUUGUCAAGAUUGCCUAGAAAUCAUUUUCUAGUGAAAUUCGGAAUGCCUGUUCUGCCCAACUCGAGUCAGACCUCUUAUUAUUUUUGUAUGAUUUUCUCGUUAAGGAUUCUAAGUCUGGGUUCUUGACAAAGUUUGUUUGUCUUUCUCUUGUCUAUAUUGUGGUGAAAUUUCACAUUUUUUAGACUUUAUUUAUUGGGACAAAUCAUUGUUGAUAUGCCAUGAUACCUUGCCAUCCUAUUACAUUUCUGAUGAGAUGCUAUGUAUUCUUGAAUUUUUAUAAAUUUUCAAUAACUCAUCUUAGGAAACUCUCUCCAUAAAAGUUGUUCCUGGUGAUGCUCUUAAUGUUCUUUAAUUUUCUUGGAGCAGAUUUUCCAUGAGUUCCUCUUCAAUUGUUUUGAUUUUAUUUGUCCUCUUCGAUGAUUUCUGUUGUGAUUCUCUACUGUGAUUUUCUUCUAGGAUUUUUUAGGACAUCUUGCAUGCUGAAUUUAAUUUACAUGUCUCACGAGUUUUGAUUCUUAUUUUUUGAACUUCGUACAAAAAAAUUCUUCAAAAUUAAAAAGUACUUUACUAUGCUUUUCAAACUUUUUGAAUAUUGUGAAACCAUCUGAAAUUUCAUUUUCUUGUUGGUUUGAAUUUGACUUUUGUUCAAGUGAUGCUCAUGCAUAAAUUUUUCAAAUCUUACAUCCAAAAUUUCCAAAUCAUGCUUUGGCCUAGCAUUGAUGUUGUCUAAGUUUGGACCAUAUUUAGGGCAUUUGCGAAACUCAAUCAAUGUGCACAGGAUGCACUCGAGUUAUAGCCUUGAUGAUUAAAUGUGUUCCAUAGCUAUGAUAAAACUUUGCUAUGCUAUUAACAAAUUUUCCUUACAAUGCACUGUUUAAUUAUUCUUUAAAUAGUUUUUGGGCAUCAUUUGAACUUCUGUUAGCUGUUUAUAUAUUUACUUUCAUUAAAUGUCUGUGAUUGUGUUUGGCAUUUGUUGACUGAUUAAGUGAUCCAAUGUUAGCUCGCUAAAAUUGUUUAAUUGAUUGAAAACAAAGGCCCGAGGGCCUACCUGCAUGUUUCCUUUCAAAUAUGCAUCUGAUUUUUAGGUGUAUGCAUAGGUAUGAUGCAUGAGCUCAUGAGAUACCUUUAGGUCAUACUUAGAGCUCAUUUUAGGGACUUUUUUGCAUUCAUUAUCAUGCAAGAAUACAAAUGGUGACUAAUAGGUAUAAGUCAUAAAAAAAUUGAUUAGGUAGGUAUCCUAGGUGGGUCGUUGCAUGAAACACAAAGGCUGACCUCGGGGCCAAAUUUGAUCAAUUAUGCACCCUAUCCUGGUUUCUUGAUCGUUUUUGUGAUUGUGAUUGUUUUUGUAUGUUUGUGAUGAUGAUUGUUUCUUUCACAUUAGAUUAGACUUAGAAUUGGUCCAUGGAGGUGGUGGCCCCCCAAGACAUGAAGACAAUGAAUGGUCAAUGUCCAAUCCAACCUUGUUUUUGUACCAUUUGUUCCCCGCAUAUGUUUCGGUUUGUCUCGUGUCAUAUAAAUGCCUGAUGAGUUGCGAGUUUCUUUCUUAUGAUCUCUUUCUUCAAGGAGUAUCAUUCAUGUGGAUACGAAUCACAACAACUUCCACUAUCAAGUGAGGUACAAGUUUGGGAGAGCUUAUGACCAUAAUCGAGUGAAUUCACAUGGUCAAUCCCGAAAGAUGAGGUGAUGACAUAUUUCGGGACACAUAUCGUGAGGGAGCUUUUCAUGGUCAAGUGUCCUUAAACUCGACUUUUCGGCCAUUCACCCCAAGGUUGGGUCACGAUACUACUACUCUGAGCUACUCCCAAUUAGUGGACAAUGGUAAGAGGAUAGCAAUAUGGAUCACAAAAGCAUCUUCUCUGUAGACAGAACGUGAAAAAGGAUCGGAAGCAUAUGACUCGUACAGGAUUCUUCAUUAAGCUCAUCAUCCCAGAAGGUGGCUUUCUAGAGAGCUUUUAGCAAAAUCGAAGCACGAGAAAAGGCUAAAUGCACCUCAACAAAACAUCCGGUUGAAAGUUGCGAAUGAUGGAAAAAUUCAAUGCCUUUUCUUUACCCCCGAUUUGACUGGACAAACUUAAGGCUAUCAGUAGCACAAGUGGAAUAAACCUAGGGCAAAACCCAAUUCCCGUACCAUGUGUAAAGUAUGUCGAUACACACCGAAACAUGCUCAUCCCUACCAGAAAGGCAUCUUGGAGAGAGAGAGAGAGAGAGAGAGAGAGAGAGAGAGAGAGAGAGGAUUACUGAGUGAGCCGACAAGAAGCUCCUUUUCAUACGAUUGAGACCACACAUCGAAUGGGAUCUCCAUUCUCGAGAAGAAUCCGCUUCUAUUGAAUCAAGAAAUGGGUCUAAUUGUCCAUCUUUCGAUUUGAUAUAAUAUUAAUCUAUAUUCAGUCAUCACAGUGGAGAGCUAUUAGUGCCUGAAAGACGGUCCUUUUUUUUUCUUUAGCCUUUCUCUUCUAGCACUUGAAUGGUUGCAAAAGAUUAAAAUGGAUUGUUGCAUAGACUCAUGCCUAUGUCAUAAUAGAUCUGAACAUUUGCAUUGGAUAGACUUCCUAUUCAUUUUCUCUUCUGCAGUACCUCGAUGUAACAUGAGCAACUAUGUAUGAGGACCUCCUUCCCUUUCACCAAGCUCAUUGCCUCUUUGCGUGGAUAAGAGAAGGGCUUUGUAUAAAAAUCUUAAGCCAUGUUCGUCACCCUAGGCUCACUUAUUAUUUUUAUUUUCUUGUACGUGGAGCUUUGUCGACUUACAUAAAUCUGGUUGACGCGGUUUUCCAUUUUUUUAAAGUAAGUUUUCUCUCUUAUUUUGUAUAGAAUAUGGAUGGAAGCUGUUUAGCUUGGCGAUAGAUACACUAGUUUUAUGAGGAUUUGUGUCUUAGGUGUUGGGAAAAAUAUGGACAAUCGAUUGUAAAUUUACAACUCUCCAAUUGAUCGUGAUUUUUUUGUGACUGGCUCUCCCUAUAGAAGAGGUAUAGUGUCUCGGAUUGAACUAUUAAAUUUCUAGCCUUUUUUUUAAUCAUUUAUUGCUAAUGUCUUUGAUAACUUCUUAUUCUUGUUUUAAUUGGAACUGUAAGAUUGGUGAACUACCGCAUUAUUUCACAACAGUCGUUAUUACAAUUAGGAACAUUGCAACCCCACAAAUUUGGAUAUAAUAAAUGUAAAAUAAGUAGUAACACACUUACUCGUGUUACAUUUUAAAUGACUCGAAGGAAUCGAAAAGAGAAUUACUUUGACCAGAUGCUUGGCCAAGAGACUUUAUUCGUAAAUAAACAGAAGAAAAUGAUUUGACGAGAACUAGCAACAGAAGAACGGCCAAUUAUUUUAUUUACAAAUUUAUUACUAAUAAAAGAUUGCGUGUUAAAUAAUCCAUGAUUAGAUGCAUUUAUAUCUUUGGACGCCCAUCUUGUACUUGCUUUUCUGUUCCCAUUUAUAAAUCUCGCAUUCAUAUUUCUUUUUCAUGUGGGAUUGACAUAUUCAGCGACACAAAAUAAAAUAAAAUAAAAUAAAAUAAAAUAAAAUAAAAUAAAAAUAAAAGGGCUCUAUCGAAUAAUUCCUUCAAAAAUCGGACAUAUAUCAAUAAAAAUAGAGCUGAUGAUCAAGCUCCUGGAGUUGGCCCAAGAGAUCAUUGGUAACAUCUUCUUAAGCUGAUCAAAACGAUGGCCAUACAUAUCUCCUAGAUAAGCAAAAUUUCAUCAUCCAAAACAUGCUGUGGAACUGCAAUUUGAUUAUUGCUGACAAAUUAAAACCGAUCGAUUUCAAUCCUUAUAUGCUUUUUCGGAUCUGAAAAAGGGUUCUGGACAAAUGCGCUUUUAGAUCAUGGGAAAAGCGAAGUACCCCACGACUGUCUGAUCGAACUUUGAACUCGGCCUGAUUAUGCCAAUCAUAAAACCGUAUUAAGCUCCUGAAAGAUUAAUUAAAUCAGGCAAAGGAGAAAGAAAAUCGAAGAGUGGACGGAGGAGCUGACCCAAUCCGAUUCUAUGUCUAUAAAUGUCGCUUCGUGGAGGAAAUGAUACUAAGCCAGAUAAAAAGCUUUUGCCAAAUUAAAUUAAUACAGGCUUGUGGAAUUCUGGCUCAAGCUUUUCAAGGGCUUAAAACUUUUAAUUUAUCUUCAGUUUCUAAGAUUAAAUAUUGCACGUUUAUUGCCUUCUCAUAUCUCCCCCUCGUUAUUAGAUAGAUCCAUCCUAUUUGUGCACAAUUUUGCUUGAUGAAACGUGGGCGUUUUGGCUUUGUUUUCUUGAUUUUUUUUAAAAAUUUAUUUUAGCUCUUGUUUGAACUUAUUUAAUAGGUAGAUGGCAAUCAUGUUGGUGCUUAGAGACAUCCCCUGUGGACAAAACCCUGAUCGCAAAAUUAAAUAUUGCAAGUUUAUUAUUGCCUUCCCGUGUAUCCCUGCCGUUAUUAGAUAGAUCCGGCCUACUAGCGCACAAUUAUAAUGGACGGCACGUGAGUGUUUUGACUUUUGUUUUCGUGAUUUUUUCAUUUAAUUUAUUUAAAAGCUCUGGCUUGAAUUUAUUUAAUAAGUGUUUCGCAAACAUGUCGGUGCAUACAGACAAAUCCCUCGAGAACAAAACCCAUGAUCGUAACACAACCUCUCUAGGUCAGAUAUGGACACUGGAAUUCUAAAACGACCAGCAACACCUCUUCUCAACCCUGUUGUCCAACCAACCCAGCAACAACUUCACGACGGCGUUCUCCCAACAACUUCUUCUAAAGGUGAGCUGAUUCCUGGUCCAGCUAAGACGAAGGACAUUCGGGAUCAGUCAAUGGGAAUCCUCAACCCCAAGAAGUUGAAGAAUACGAGACUUUCCACUAAAGCAGGAACUGCAAAAGAAAAUUAAAUGGUACAACCCUCAUGAGUCGCGAACUAACAUAACAGAAGGUCUAGAUGAAAGACAACUCAUGGAGACAUCCAUUUUUUCGGUCGAAGAGACAGGGAUUCCUUUAUUUCCAAAAAUAUAAGUACGAGUGUAAGAAGAAGAAGAACAGAAUUUCAGUAAGAAGCUAACGCUUUCCGAUUUAAAUAAGUAUAUUACAUUAUAUCAACUCAUCAUUUACACGAGGGCCCGUCCGACCGGGCGCUCAUCGUGAUCGUGACCAUCUAGAUGGUUGACGUCUGUUUUCGUCUGAAGAAGUCAAAAAAAUUGACUAGGUACAGUGGAUUAUCUAAAUGGUCCCCCCGUCCCACCCCCCAAUAGGGGCCCCUGCUCAAGGUUGUUAUGCCUUCUCGACCAAGGGGAAAGCCCUUCAAAAUGGCCUCUCCUCCCACGGAGCUGGCCCCGCCUUUUUCGCUCUCGGCUAGCUAGCUUGAACUUCGCCUGUGUGAGGGAAGAACUCGAGAUAUGGCGGCUGGGAUCAAUUCGAUGCAGUCUAUUGUCAUGCAGAUCAUGCGAGUACUUCGGGAGGCAAUAGGCGGCUACGGGUUCAGUCCAACCGAGGAGGAACUGCUUAGUUACCUGAAGUCCGAAAAUCCCGGAUACAGAGAAGAUUUCUGCAUCAUACCGAGAAUAGGAAAUAUCUACGAGAUUAAUCCGUGGGAUUUACCAGAAAAGUUCAACGGUAAGUCUUUCGCAACUUCAAAAGAAGGCAUAAGGAAAGGAACGGUAGCCCCUUCACUCAUGUCUCUAAAGAGUUUCUUAAUGUGCAUGCAGAGAAAUCGAUCAUUCCAUCCAAUGGUCGAGAAUGGUGGUUCAUAUGUCCACAUAUGCAGAACCAACGGAAUUGCAGGAAAACACCAUCCGAUUAUUCGUGGAAGAUCACCGGUAAAAGUACAGACAUUAAAAUUGAUGGCCAAAAGAUAGGUUCCAAGAAAAUAUUUGUCUUCCCUGAGGGUCGAGGCUCUAAGGGCUCCAAGAGCUCCAAGAGCCUCUGGCUCAUCCAUGAAUACCGUCUACCCGACGAAAAUAUAUGCAAGGUACCCUCAUCUAUUCGUUGCAAUUAAUUAGAUUCACAAGAUGCAUGAAUUUGAUGACACAUCAUGUGAGAAGUAUAGUACAAUUAUCUGCAGAAACACUCGAUUUAAAGUUUCCAAUAGUCUUAGAGAAAUAGAGAAACAUUUUUGUGCUUGGUUUCUACUACAGAAGAUUGAAAUCUUAUACAUAUAUGGAGAAUGAUAUUAUUUUUGCCAAAUUUGAGAGCAGUUUUUUACUGUUGAAGAAAAUAUGACUUAUGGUGUGAACUGAUAUAACAUGGUCUUUUGACAGUCGGAUAGAGAUUAUGUUCUGUGUCAUUUAAAGCUUAAACAAGAUGAAUUGUGCCUUCCUCAAACUGAUGAUGCGGGCUCCCUUCCUAAGGUAUGGAGAAUUAAAUGUUCUGUUUGUACACUCAAUAUCUGUCUUAACGAGCAUGGAAUGUGUUAGUGACUAAUCUUUUACUUGUAAAUACAGCUUCUGAUUCAAGAAACGAUGGAAUCACUGAGAAAGUCCGCCCAGCCCCAGAACCGAGCUCAAUUUUCUUUGCCUGACCUCCUGCAGCUGUUUCAGCGUGGGCUGCAAUCACAAAAUAAUAGCUUGCACUCCGACAUACAUCAGUUCACGGAUAUUGGGAGUUUGUCUGUUGAGGACUUCUCAUUGGAUGAUGGACUUACUGAUAAAUGUAUCGAAUUCAAAUCUUUGCUCGGAACAACUAAAGACGAUCGAAGGGUUGACUCAUUGCUUACUGAAGAUCCUUUUGAUGACAAGGUUCAGAAAGGUGAAGAGCCAAGGGUAGAAAAGGUUCAUCAAGAAACUACAGCCAGAAAUAUCGGACCAUGCAUGUCUUCAUAUGAAGCAGAAGCCAUAGCGAAGGUGAAAGCAACUCCUGAACUUACCCAUUGCGUCUUAUUACUUGUAAAUACAGGAUAAGACCCAAGAAAAGAUGAAGUUACUGAUGGAGAACUGUGUUCAAUUGCUCUUGUCUCACCGCCUGCAACUGCCUCAGCGUGGGCUACAAUCACCAAAUAAUAGCUCUUCGCUCAGAACAACUAAAGAGGAUCCUAAACUUCCCAUUGUGUCUUAUUACUGUUCUUUUAUGUUGACGUCCAUUGCUUGGGAAGUUAAUUACAUUCACAAGAUGCAUGACUUUGAUGACAUAUCACGUGAUAGCUACAAUUAUCUGCACAAACACUCGAUUUGAAGUUUCCAAUAGUCAUAGAGAAGCAGAGAAGCGUUUUUGUGCUCAGUUUCUAUUACAGAAGAUUGAAAUCUUAUACGUAUAUGAAGAAUGAUAUUGUUUUUGCCAAACUUGAGAGCAGCUUUUUACUGUUGAAGAAAAUAUAUGACUUAUGGUGUGAACUGAUAUGACAUAGUCUUUCGACAGUUGAAUAGAAAUUAUGCUCCGUCUCACUUAAAGCAUAAACAAGAUGAUUCUCGAACUGAUAAUGCGGGCUCCUCUCCAGAGGUGCGGAGUAAUAAAUGUUGUGUUUCUACACUCAAUAUCUGUCUUAAUGAGUGCAUGGAAUGUGUUAGUGACUAAUCUUUUACUUGUAAAUACAGCAUGUGAUCCAGGCAAGGAUGGAAACACAGAGACAGUCCACCCAGCACCAGCACCCAGCAGAAUUUUCUUCGCGUGACCUCCUGCACCUGGCUCAGCCAGGGCUGCAUUCACAAAAUAAUAGCUUCCACUCCAACACACAUCAAUUGACAAAUAAUGGGAGUUCGUCUGUUAAGAACUUCUCAUUGGACGAUGGUCUUACUGAUAAAUCUAUCGAAUUGAAAUCUUUGCUCGGAACGACUAAAGAUCAUGGACGGGUUGACACAUUGUCCAAUGAAAAUCGUUUUGAUGCCGAAGUUCAGAAAGGUGAAGCGCCAAGGUUAGAAAAGGUUCAGCAGGAAACUGCAGCCAGAAAUAUCAAACCAUGGAUAUCUUCAAAUGAAGCAACAGCCAGAGCAGAGGUAAGAGCAGCUCCAAAACUUACCUAUUGUGUCUUAUUACUAUUCUUUUACGUUGAGGUUCAUUGCUUGGGAAGUUAAUUACAUUCACAAGAUGCAUGAAUUUGACAUAUCAUGUGAGAAGUAUAGCUACAAUUAUCGGCAGAAAAGCUCGAUUUAAAGUUUCCAAUAGCCCUAGAGAAGCAGAGAAACGUUUUCGUGCUCAGUUUCUACUACAGAAGAUUGAAAUCUUAUACAUAUAUGGAGAAUGAUAUUAUUUUGGCCAAAUUUGAGAGCAGUUUAUGACUGAUGAAGAAAAUAUAAGACUUAUGGUGUGAACUGAUAUAGCAUGGUCUUUCGACAGUUGAAUAGAAAUUAUGCUCCGUCUCACUUAAAGCAUAAACAAGAUGAUUCUCGAACUGAUAAUGCGGGCUCCUCUCCUGAGGUGCGGAGUAAUAAAUGUUGUGUUUGUACACUCAAUAUCUGUCUUAAUGAGUGCAUGGAAUGUGUUAGUGACUAAUCUUUUACUUGUAAAUACAGCAUGUGAUCCAGGCAAGGAUGGAAACACAGAGACAGUCCACCCAGCACCAGCACCCAGCAGAAUUUUCUUCGCAUGACCUCCUGCACCUGGCUCAGCCAGGGCUGCAUUCACAAAAUAAUAGCUUCCACUCCAACACACAUCAGUUGACAAAUACUGGGAGUUCGUCUGUUAAGAACUUCUCAUUGGACGAUGGUCUUACUGAUAAAUAUAUCGAAUUGAAAUCUUUGCUCGGAACGACUAAAGAUCAUGAACGGGUUGACACAUUGUCCAAUGAAAAUCGUUUUGAUGCCGAAGUUCAGAAAGGUGAAGCGCCAAGGUUAGAAAAGGUUCAGCAGGAAACUGCAGCCAGAAAUAUCAAACCAUGGAUAUCUUCAAAUGAAGCAACCGCCAGAGCAGAGGUAAGAGCAGCUCCAAAACUUACCUAUUGUGUCUUAUUACUAUUCUUUUACGUUGAGGUUCAUUGCUUGGGAAGUUAAUUACAUUCACAAGAUGCAUGAAUUUGACAUAUCAUGUGAGAAGUAUAGCUACAAUUAUCGGCAGAAAAGCUCGAUUUAAAGUUUCCAAUAGUCCUAGAGAAGCAGAGAAACAUUUUCGUGCUCAGUUUCUACUACAGAAGAUUGAAAUCUUAUACAUAUAUGGAGAAUGAUAUUAUUUUGGCCAAAUUUGAGAGCAGUUUAUGACUGUUGAAGAAAAUAUAAGACUUAUGGUGUGAACUGAUAUAGCAUGGUCUUUCGACAGUUGAAUAGAAAUUAUGCUCCGUCUCACUUAAAGCAUAAACAAGAUGAUUCUCGAACUGAUAAUGCGGGCUCCUCUCCUGAGGUGCGGAGUAAUAAAUGUUGUGUUUGUACACUCAAUAUCUGUCUUAAUGAGUGCAUGGAAUGUGUUAGUGACUAAUCUUUUACUUGUAAAUACAGCAUGUGAUCCAGGCAAGGAUGGAAACACAGAGACAGUCCACCCAGCACCAGCACCCAGCAGAAUUUUCUUCGCAUGACCUCCUGCACCUGGCUCAGCCAGGGCUGCAUUCACAAAAUAAUAGCUUCCACUCCAACACACAUCAGUUGACAAAUACUGGGAGUUCGUCUGUUAAGAACUUCUCAUUGGACGAUGGUCUUACUGAUAAAUAUAUCGAAUUGAAAUCUUUGCUCGGAACGACUAAAGAUCAUGAACGGGUUGACACAUUGUCCAAUGAAAAUCGUUUUGAUGCCGAAGUUCAGAAAGGUGAAGCGCCAAGGUUAGAAAAGGUUCAGCAGGAAACUGCAGCCAGAAAUAUCAAACCAUGGAUAUCUUCAAAUGAAGCAACAGCCAGAGCAGAGGUAAGAGCAGCUCCAAAACUUACCUAUUGUGUCUUAUUACUAUUCUUUUACGUUGAGGUUCAUUGCUUGGGAAGUUAAUUACAUUCACAAGAUGCAUGAAUUUGAUGACAUAUCAUGUGAGAAGUAUAGCUACAAUUAUCGGCAGAAAAGCUCGAUUUAAAGUUUCCAAUAGUCCUAGAGAAGCAGAGAAACAUUUUCGUGCUCAGUUUCUACUACAGAAGAUUGAAAUCUUAUACAAAUAUGGAGAAUGAUAUUAUUUUGGCCAAAUUUGAGAGCAGUUUAUGACUGUUGAAGAAAAUAUAAGACUUAUGGUGUGAACUGAUAUAGCAUGGUCUUUCGACAGUUGAAUAGAAAUUAUGCUCCGUCUCACUUAAAGCAUAAACAAGAUGAUUCUCGAACUGAUAAUGCGGGCUCCUUUCCUGAGGUACAGAGUAAUAAAUAUUAUGUUUGUACACUCAAUAUCGNNNNNNNNNNNNNNNNNNNNNNNNNNNNNNNNNNNNNNNNNNNNNNNNNNNNNNNNNNNNNNNNNNNNNNNNNNNNNNNNNNNNNNNNNNNNNNNNNNNNNNNNNNNNNNNNNNNNNNNNNNNNNNNNNNNNNNNNNNNNNNNNNNNNNNNNNNNNNNNNNNNNNNNNNNNNNNNNNNNNNNNNNNNNNNNNNNNNNNNNNNNNNNNNNNNNNNNNNNNNNNNNNNNNNNNNNNNNNNNNNNNNNNNNNNNNNNNNNNNNNNNNNNNNNNNNNNNNNNNNNNNNNNNNNNNNNNNNNNNNNNNNNNNNNNNNNNNNNNNNNNNNNNNNNNNNNNNNNNNNNNNNNNNNNNNNNNNNNNNNNNNNNNNNNNNNNNNNNNNNNNNNNNNNNNNNNNNNNNNNNNNNNNNNNNNNNNNNNNNNNNNNNNNNNNNNNNNNNNNNNNNNNNNNNNNNNNNNNNNNNNNNNNNNNNNNNNNNNNNNNNNNNNNNNNNNNNNNNNNNNNNNNNNNNNNNNNNNNNNNNNNNNNNNNNNNNNNNNNNNNNNNNNNNNNNNNNNNNNNNNNNNNNNNNNNNNNNNNNNNNNNNNNNNNNNNNNNNNNNNNNNNNNNNNNNNNNNNNNNNNNNNNNNNNNNNNNNNNNNNNNNNNNNNNNNNNNNNNNNNNNNNNNNNNNNNNNNNNNNNNNNNNNNNNNNNNNNNNNNNNNNNNNNNNNNNNNNNNNNNNNNNNNNNNNNNNNNNNNNNNNNNNNNNNNNNNNNNNNNNNNNNNNNNNNNNNNNNNNNNNNNNNNNNNNNNNNNNNNNNNNNNNNNNNNNNNNNNNNNNNNNNNNNNNNNNNNNNNNNNNNNNNNNNNNNNNNNNNNNNNNNNNNNNNNNNNNNNNNNNNNNNNNNNNNNNNNNNNNNNNNNNNNNNNNNNNNNNNNNNNNNNNNNNNNNNNNNNNNNNNNNNNNNNNNNNNNNNNNNNNNNNNNNNNNNNNNNNNNNNNNNNNNNNNNNNNNNUCGAUCGGCCGCCCCUCGGCCUAUAAAUAGGCCUCCAUUUCCGUCGUCAGAGGCACACACACAAACGGCAAAGAGGAGAUCACUAACGGUAAGCUUCGACAGCUUCCCCUGAGAGACUUCAGGGGAGGCUCGAAGACGAGCUACCGGAGAUCUUGAGUCUAGCCGGAGAAGCGAGCUCGAGAGGGAGAGAGACAGACGGCGAAGGAUCGAGGGCUGCGAAUCUUCGAACCUCCCACUGAGAGACUUCAGAAGGGGGGGCCAAGGAUGAGCAGACCGAGAUCCAGAUCUAGCCAGAGGAGAGGAGUUCUGAGCAGAGGAGGUGAGAUCCGAGGGUGACGGUAGGUCAGAUCUAAUCAGAUCUGGGAGACGACGCUGCUUUGCCGCCACCUGCCGAGCCACCACCACCAUCCUCGACGUUGUUAACCGCCCACGCCGAAGCUCCAGCCAGCCACCACGUUUGCUAUCGUCCUUCGAUGCUGUCGAACGCAAGCCGAGACCCCUGCAGAGCCGCGUCGUGCACCCUUUGACGUCAUCGCCAACCGGCUUGCUCGCCAUCCACCACCUCGCCACAGGUAAUAAUGGUCAUCGUCAUCAUCGCCGCCAUCGUAGCCACCGUCGCCAUCAUCACCAUCGCAGUCGCCGCCGCCAUUUCCUCGGCGAUGCUUCGUUCCCCUCCCCCCCCCCUCAGCGUUGUGAAUCGGGAACCUUAGGGUUCCCGAUUUUUCGAGUCGCGACCCCGGGUCGUUGGGUCGAACCCGGCCCAGGAACCGGGUAGGGUUUUGCGCGAUUUGGGGCAGCGGAAAUUCGGGUCGCGAGUGGGAGCCGGGUCAGGUAGGGUUUUGCCGAGGAGCGGGUUGUCGGAGCGGGUCGUCGGGCCGGGUCGGGUGUCCCAAAACGCUCGGCCACGACGCCGUUUCUUUUUUUUUUUUUUUUGAAAGGAAAAAAUACGAGUCAGGCCCGCGCGCAUGCGGGUCGCCGGCCCGGGUCAAACCCAACCCGCGGAUCCGACCCGGGUCAGUUUUUAUAAUAUUUUUAAAUAGAAAAAUAAAUAAAUAAAUAAAUAAUUUCAAAAAAAUCAAAAAUAAUUUAUUUUCGAAAAAAAUAUUUAAAAUGUUUUAAUUUCUAGAAAACCGAAAAAUAUUUAAAAAUUGUUGAAAUUUUUUUUAUUUUCUGAAAAAAUCAAGAAAAAUAAAAAAUAAUUUAUUUUCCAAAAAAUAUUUAAAAAAUAUUAAAAAAUAUUUUAUUUUCCGAAAAAUCAAAAAAAUCAAAAAUAUUUCAUAAAAUCCAAAAAAAAGCCAAAAAUUCAUGAAAAGGCCAAGAAAAUUCAGAAAAAGCCAAAAAGACUUGUAUUUUUUUUUUCCAAAAAAUACCAAAAAAUCCAAAAAAAAAAUCCCUUUUAUGUAAAAAAAAAAUUAGAAAAAGACUCAAAAAUGUUUUUCCUCCCAAAAAUACAUGGAAAAUCCCUCGAACAUCCAAAAGAUCUCAAGAUUUAAACAAGAUUAGGUACCAAAAGGGCAUUAGUGAUUAAAUAGUAUAAUCAAGUCCUCAAUCCUAAUUUCUCUAGUUGCGCAAGAGUGAGUAUUUCUCCCGAUACUUCACUUGGGUUUCUAAUCAACCCACCCCAAAUCGAUUAGUGGCGACUCCAUUUUAAAAAUUGAUUUACAGGUUAAAAACUUGAACUAUUAAGUCGUGAAUUGGUGGACUUGGGAGAUUCCGGGCAUAACUAAUUUCAGCCAAGCCAUUAGCCUCCUUAGGCGCUUGUACUCGAUUGCGGGCGCCGAAAAAAAAAAAGAGAUCGCGACAGCUUGGCGACUCCGCUAGGGAUGAUUUUUGAGGACUUAGGCCAUUUUAUCUUGUUUAAACCCUUUACUAACUUGUUUUUGUUUUUUCUUUAUGCAAGUUAGUAGCUUAGAAGUUUAUCUUAAUUUUCGUUAAAAUAAAAUGUUUUUUGAUUAUAAAUUGCUAUGUAUGCUUUACUGUUUUAGCACUACACAUGGCACACACAACCCGGCCGCCGGACUUAGGCCGCCAUAGGAUUUCUAGGAUGGUGUUAAGAAAGAUACGACCUCGAACGCGAGACGGCGAUGUAGAGGUUGCCUUUAUUUUCCCCGAAUUUCUUAGCCGAGGUUAGGAGGGUAUGCUGCUAACGUGAGACUGCGACGGGCGGAUAUCCUUUUAAUCUCAACAAACCUUCUCAGUUAGAAAUUGAGCGACACAUCUCAUGCGCAUGUCUUUGUGCUUGCCUUUUUUAUUUAAACGCAAAGUGAUUUCUUUACUUUUACUUAGUCUUUUAUUAGCCCAUGGCAAUUUAGGAUAAGCUUUUCAAAGUCCCAAUCUAUAUGCGAUGGGGAAAGAUGAUAUCCAGUUCAUUCCUGCUCCCAAAGCGAAACUCUUCAAAUGGUGGGGUCAAUUGGAUCAGUUUGCCCAAGAGCGCGUGAAAGCCAAAGUCGGUCAUCUCCUAUCGUUGAUUCAAAUCAUUAUUCGUCCCAAAGUCAUACAGGCCAUGACACAUUUUUGGUGCCCGAAAACGACUACUUUUUUGUUUGGUGGGUUUGAACUAACCCCAACAUUGGAAGAAUACAGCAUCAUCACUGGAAUGCCUCUCGAGAAAAAGCUUGUUAGGCCAUCAACAGGCAUUAUCCUGUUGGGUGGGUUAGCACGACUUUUAGGAACUGAAAUCCACGUUAUGAGGCAAAUUCUUGAAAAUAACCAUAAGACCUGCCCACUAGAAUUCAUGAAUGUCUGUUUUCAAAAUCAGCCUAUGACCCAAAAAAACGAGAUUUUCCUCUUGGCCUUUUUUGGGUUCAUCAUUUUCCCCCAUCAAAGAAAUGUCAUAAGUCCUAAGAUGGCAUGGAUAAUUGAUCAGAUCUCGAGGGGGCAAAAUUAUGUCAACAUGAUUUUAACUGAAACAUUCUUGUCAUUUAAUCAUUUUAAAGACAACACGGAGAAAAUCAUGUGAGCCUCUCCUGAAAUUUUACAAGUCUGGUUCUUUUCUCACCUAAGCGAAUUUCGAGACUUCACGCGAUCGUCUGAAACAAAUGCUUUCGAAAAUUUGUUACAAAAAUUUAUGGUUUUAUGACCGUAUAUUCCCAAUCGAAGCUGUUUAAAUUUGGUUGACUUCUUAAGAAACCCAGCUCUUGAGGCAUUCCAAUGGUGUGCUGGUUGGUUCUAUGAAAAGAGAGCUCGCUUUGCUUUCAAGCGCCGCUAUUUAAUUCCGUUACUCGGCCUCACCGGUGCCAUUUUCUAUUUCCCACAUAAGGUGGCACGAUAGUAUGGAGUGAGAUAGCUAGUAUAAACACCUAGAGGGGGGGAAUAGGCGCACAAACAAUUUGUUGAAAUACGGAAGCAAUUCUUAACAAAAUGAAAUACGAUCGAGGUAUAGAGAGAGAGAGAGAAAAUUGAACACAUGAUUUAUAGUGGUUCGGCUUAUUCCAAGCCUACGUCCACUCUUCCGCACUGACAGCCCACCGGCUGGAUUUCACAAUGAUCAAAAGAGAAGUUACAGCACAGCUUUGCCUUGAUUCCACAGUGUAGAUGUUCUACCACACCUUCUCAAGGUUUCUCAUAAAUAUAGACUCUCUUUUGUAUACAAGUAUUCGCUCAAAGGAAUUGUCUAAACAAAAAGGAGCUUCAGACUUUGGAAUUCAUCUAUCGCGCACACCUCGAACAACUAAGAACGUCUUCCUUAUAUACUCCUUUAUGCCAUCAUACCCGUUGGCACUUACCAAAGGAAUUCCUCCAAUCUACCCGUUGGACGGAACCAAUUAGGAAGAUUGUUCGAGCUAUUAAAGGAACGUGUUGAUAGCCCAUCAAUCCUGUUCGCCCAUACAAUCAGGAUCUCGGUUUCCAUAAGUAGAACCUUCCAAUAAUAUUUAGACAAUCAUCGAAUCUUCAAUCAUUGAAUCAAUCUUGAUCAAUCAAAGGAUUCUGUUACGUCUUCUCCAGCCACGAGAUCUUCUCCAGAUGAUAAGGAUAAAUCCUGAACAAAACAUCCAGUUCUGGAUAACCUUUCUUCAACGGAUUAGAGACUGUCAAUGAGGAUAGACUUUGAGUCUUGAGUCUGGCUGUCCGGAAGUCUUCAGACUUUAAAUAACAGAGUCUGCAGACCUUCAGACUAGACUGAUGGAAACGUUUUGUCAACUUCAAAACACUUCACGAGGAUUUCUCCAACAAUCUCCCCCUUUUUGAUGGUGACAAAACCUUUCUGCAGAUUUGGAUAACUUUGACCUGCAAAACAUUUCUCAAACACAUAUGCAUAUCUUAUAGAGAUGAAUGGUUAAAAGAAUAACACUAGAAUCUACAACCACAGAAAAUAGGUUAGUCUUGUAUACAAUAAAACCAUCCAUAAGAUAUCAAUACUUGUUAAUAGAAGCAGUCAAGUCCAAGUCUAGUUCAGUUCUCAUCCAGACACAAAACAAAGUCAAAGUCUGUCGAAAACAGUUAAACAACACAAUCCAACAAAUAAAUAAAAGUUUAAUGAUUGAAAGUUUGAUCAAAUCAUGCAUCUCUCCCCCUUUUUGUCAUCAUUAAAAAGGAUGAGAUGAAGUCAAGAUUGCUUGGGAACGAAGACAAGCUGGAAAUCUUCCAUAGACUGAACGAUGCCUUCCAGCCUUUUGAAGUCUUCCUUCAGCUGUGCAACCUCCUCACUCUUGGCAUUGGCCUGAUUCUGAAUCGAGAGGGCUUGCAUCUUAUCAUUCAAUGUACAGGAAGAAGCUUGACUUUCAUUCUUCAAACUUCGAACUUCACAUCCCAAGGCAUAAAUUUGACCUCUCAUUUCCAAGAGAAUAUCCAUGAUUCUGCGAAAAUCUGCUCCAUUAUUAGUCUGAGUACUUGCUUCGGCUCAAUCUGAUGGAGUAAAUGCAGACGACGGUAGAUCAGCAUAAUCUCGCAGGAUUGGCGAUGAAGCUUCAUGACCUUCCUCUAGAAAUUGAGAUGCAUAAACGUCCUCAGGAUCUGCAGGUGAGCGACUGAUUCCUUCACUUGCAUCAGGAUGUGAAGACGUCACUCCUUUCUCCUGAUCUUCCCCUGUUUCCAUGCCUACAUGUGGAGAAGAGAUUUCCUGAGGCUCUCCUUCUUCUCUUCUUUCUUCUUCAGGUCUUUCUUCCUCUGCUUCUUGCUCUGCUUCUCUUUCUUCUUCUUUCUCCUCUGCUUCUUUCGUCAUUCGUUUCGAUUCUUUCUGUGGAACAGGACGACUUAAAUUCUUCAAAGCCAUUGCAGAGAUGGUGAUGUCUUCGUCAUCAUCUUCAUCCUCAACGAGGAGAGCUCUUCUUCUCUUUGAUGGAGCAACCAUGGGCUCCUUCCCUUUUCUCUUAGCAGCAGAAGAGAGUUGAUGAGAUUUGGCAGGAGUCUUCUCCUUGAAUUUCUCCAAUUCCUUGCUCAGUUCCUUCAGACGCAUUUUGGUCACCAUUUUCAGUCCUACCACCAUAUGAUCGCAUGAUCGAACACAAAAGAUUUGCGGAGGCUGAAUAUUCAGAUGUCUGAAUAACUUCGUAACAAGGCUUGGGUAAGGGAGUUGACCUCUGUCCUUCAUCACUGCUCUAUACAUGUGAAACAUAACAGUAUGAGGGAGAGAAAACUUCUUUCCACAGAGGAUGGCAUACAUCAACUUUGCCUCAGAGCUUGAAAUGUCAGUUUUGGAAGUCGAUUUCGGUUGAAGGCAGUUAAUCACAAUCUUGUGAAGUAGGAUGUUGAAUGCACUCAUCCUUAAGUAGGUGAUCUUCUCAUCUGUUCUCCUGUCCUUCACCAGUUCAAGUGUGGCCCGAGCAAUGGAAACUUUGAUUGGUUGAUAUCUGCCUCUCUCAACUUCUAACACAUCUGCCAGCAUGUCCAUAUCCACAACAUAGUCCUGAUCUUUAACACUGAAAGAGAAUCUAUUCGCAUCCAAAAAGCUAAGAUUUGAAUAGAAAUAAGCAGUUAAUCCAGCAUAGGCCUCAGUAGAGUCAGAGCAGAACUUUUCAAGUUGAAGAAAAUUGAACUUUUCCCUCAAGUUCACUUUCACAGCAUCCAGAAAAUCAAAGUCCACACUCCUAGGGUUUAUUACCCCACGCUUCAGCAAUUUCGAGUACAGAUCCUUUUGUUCCUUUGAUCUGAACAAAUCUCCCAUUUUUCCUUGAAUUUCAGCCGUAAUACCCAUUUUCGGUUUAAAUAGACUGAACAGAUUGUCAUCGUCAUUCCCAUCUACAUGAUUCGGCCCCCAGUCACGAGGAUCACUUGGGAUAUUCGCAAGGGUUUCCUCAACCACCCCUUUACGAGCGAUUCCCAAACUUUCCAUUUUUCGCAGAAAGAUAUAUUCGUUCUUAUAUCCUUUGUCUUUAAGAAAAUCAUCAACAUAGUUCAAAGGAGUAUGAAUUCCUUUUAAGGCACGAUAUAGCUUGUAAAUAAAAGCGGGCUUUUGAACUCUUACGGGAUCUGCAUCCUCGAUGAUUUCUUCUUGAUGCUGAUGAACAACGCCUUGAGGACUAGAUGGUGGAGAAUGACGCUGCUGAGAAUGUUGUGGGCUCACUUGCUGUUCUGGAUUCUCUUCCUCCUCAGUAAGAUCGAAGUGCGUAGGCCCCUCACUCAUUUGCCGUGGACCCUUGCUUGCGAUUCUCGAAGACUUUCUCGAAGAUGACAUCGUUCUCAAUUUUUGGAAGAUUCCUUGCUUGAUUUUCUCAGGAAAGAUGACAACUUUUUGAAGAUUAAUCAAAGAAGACAAAUGGAAAUGGAGGAUCGAUGCUUUCUAGGGUUUUCAAGAGUGAAGUGAAAAGGAAUCGACAGUGCACGAUCGGUUAAAAAGAGAAAUAAACGAACCGUCACAAAGGAAAUAAAAAAAAUGCCUUUUCAAAAUAACUGUCUUCUUCCGCAAAAAUAGCUGUUUCAAAAAUAACUUCCUUUUUGAAAAUGAAACGAUGCAAUAUUUGCGUCGAUUAAAUAUAGCAAUAAUUAAAACACAGUCUGACGAUCGUACCUUUUCAAGAAUAAAUUAGAGAGAGAAAGACUUACAGUCUGACGGUCGAGCCAAGACUGUAGAUAAAGUCUUGUAAGCCUGAGUCUGAAAGUCUUUAGACUUUGAUAUCCUCAUACCUCAAAAUGUUGAGUCUGGAACGAAUAGACUCAAAUUGAUUUUUCUCCAAAGGCUUUGUGAAUAUAUCCGCCAGUUGAUUCUUUGAGUCAACAAACUGAAUUGAAAUCUCUCCAUUUUGAACAUGAUCUCUAAUAAAGUGAUGUCGAAUCUCUAUAUGCUUUGCUCUUGAGUGGAGAAUUGGAUUUUUGGUGAGGUUGAUAGCGCUGGUGUUGUCGCAAUUAAUCUCCGUGCAUGAGUCUUCAAUUUCAAAGUCUCUUAGCUGUUGUUUUAUCCAUAGAAUUUGCGAACAGCAGCUUCCAAGAGCUACAUACUCUGCUUCCGUUGUUGAAAGAGACACAGUGCUUUGUUUCCUUGAAAACCAAGACACUGUCCUUCUUCCAAGCAACUGGCAAGUUCCUGAAGUGCUCUUUCUAUCAACUCUGCAACCGGCCAGAUCUGCGUCUGAAUAUCCCAGAAGAUUAAAGUCUCCAUUCUUAGGAUACCAAAGACCGAUGCUUGAUGAUGAAGCAACGUAUUUAAUGAUGCGUUUUGCAGCACUGAGAUGAGAUUCUCUAGGAUCUGAUUGAAACCUAGCACAGAUGCAAACACUCAACAAAAUAUCAGGUCUAGAGGUAGUAAGAUAAAGAAGUGAUCCAAUGAUGCUUCUGUACAGCUUUUGAUCAACUUUCUUCCCUUCUUCAUCUUUGUCUAUCUUUAAAGAACUUGACAUUGGUAUGUCGGUCUUUUUGCACUUUUCCAGUCCAAACCUUUUGAUAAGAUCAUUAACAUAUUUUUCUUGAUAAAUAAAAGUUCCUUCCUUCAAUUGUUUUACUUGAAGACCAAGAAAGAAUGUUAAUUCUCCCAUCAUACUCAUUUCAAACUCAUCCUGCAUAGACUUAGAAAAUUUCUUGCACAGACUUUCAUUAGUGGAUCCAAAAAUAAUAUCAUCCACAUAUAUUUGAACAAGUAAGAAACUUUUGUUUUCCUUUUUGAUAAAUAAGGUCGUAUCUACUUUACCUUUGACAAAACCAUUUUGUAUUAAGAACUUACUUAAUCUGUCGUACCAAGCCCGAGGUGCUUGCUUUAAACCAUACAAAGCCUUUUUCAGUCUGAAGAUUGAGUCUGGCUUCUUUGGGUCUUCAAACCCUGGUGGUUGUUCCACAUAAACUUCCUCAUGGAUAAAUCCAUUUAGAAAGGCGCUUUUGACGUCCAUUUGGAAUGACCUGAAAUUCUUAUAACAAACAAACGCAAGUAAUAGUCGAAUAGCUUCUAACCUUGCCACUGGAGCGUAAGUCUCAUCAUAGUCUAUUCCUUCUUCUUGCGUAUAUCCCUUGGCCACGAGUCUUGCUUUAUUUCGUAUGACUUUUCCUUUCUCGUUCAUCUUGUUUUUGAACACCCAUUUAGCUCCAAUAACAGCUUUACCUUUUGGUUUGGAUGUCAAUUCCCAGACAUCAUUAAUGUUGAACUGUCUGAGCUCUUCUUGCAUAGCUUCAAUCCAGCUUUCAUCAGAUAAAGCUUCUUCUAUGCUCUUUGGUUCAAUUUCAGAAACGAGUGCCACAGCACUAGACUCUUCUCGCCUUUUGGAUCUGGUGCGAAUUCCUUCAUUAAUUUCGCCAAUUAUAAGAUCUUUGGGAUGACUGGACUUAUGCUUCUAGUUACUUGUUGAUUUGUCUGAUUGAUGAUCUCUUUCUUUAUUUGGAUCUUCACUAACAACCUGAUGUUGGUUUUCCAGAGUCUGAGAUGCUUCUUGAGUUGUAGACUUUGGAGGGUCUGGAGCAGGUUCAGACUCUUCUUGAUGAGUCUGACUUGAUUCAUCUUGCGUUGAGUCUUGAAAUUUGACAUUCAUUGACUCCUCCACAGACUGGCUCUUCUUGUUAUAGACUCUGUAGGCUUUGCUUGAUGUAGAAUAUCCAAGGAAGAUACCUUCAUCUGAUCUUUCUUCAAACUUACCAACUCGAUCUUUUGCAUUUUUCAAUAUAAAACAUUUGCAACCAAAUACAUGAAAGUAUGAAACAAUAGGCUUCUUAUCUUUGAAUAACUCAUAAGGGGUUUUAUGUAGAAUAGGUCUUAAGAAAACUCUAUUGAUGAUAUAGCAAGCUGUUGAAACAGCUUCAGCCCAAAAUCGUGAAGAAAUCUUACUUUCAAUUAAAAGAGUUCUAGCCAUCUCUUGAAGAGAUCUGUUUUUUCUUUCCACAACUCCAUUUUGCUGAGGAGUAUAUGGAGAGGAGAACAUAUGCUUAAAGCCAGAUUCAUCACAGAAUUUUGUAAAAUCUUGAUUUUCAAAUUCACCUCCAUGAUCUGUUCUUAUACUAGAGAUAACACAUCCUUUUUUCAUUUUGAACCUUUUUAGCAAAUUUUUCAAAAUACGAAAAGGUUUCGGACUUACUUGCAAGGAAAUAUACCCAAGUAAAACGGGAGUAAUCAUCAACAAUUACUAGGCAAUACUUCUUACCCCCAAUACUUUGAGUUCUGGUUGGUCCGAAGAGAUCCAUAUGUAGCAACUGUAAUACAUGAUUAGUAGAGACAUGAUUUAUUGGCUUAAAUGAAUUUCUUACCUGCUUUCCCAGAAUACAUGGAGUGCAUGAAUCAGUCUUUUGGUAUGGCAGUUUGGGUAGACCUCAAACAAGCUGCUUUGAUGAGAUUUUGGCUAAUUGCUUCAUGUUGACAUGACCAAGCUUUUUGUGCCAUAAGCUUGCUUCGUCUUGAAUUGAGAUAAGACAUUGCGAUUCAUUUGGUUUCACAUCCAGAAGAUAGAUAUUUCCAUGUCUUCGACCCAUGAAAGACUGAGUAGAGUCUUUACUGAUUCCAGAACAUGUUCCUUCUUGAAAGAAGAUCUUGAAACCAGUAUCACACAAUUGACUAAUGCUGAGAAGAUUGUAAUUGAGUCCUUCUACUAAGGAAACAUUACUUAUUGUGAGAGUUCCGAUUUUCACGGUUCCAAAUCCCACAAUACUUCCUUUGCUGUUUCCUCCAAAUGAAACUUUUCCACCGUUUACUUGAGCAAGCUUUAUAAAGCAAUUUGAGUCUCCUGUUAUGUGUCUUGAACAUCCGUUGUCAAGAUACCACUUUACAUGUUUCUUGACGGAGACCUGCAUUUAAAAUAAAGUCUCAAGCUUUCUUUGGUACCCAAAUUUUCUUGGGUCCUUUGGUGUUAGUAAUAUAAACAGUAUUAGCCCAUACUUUCUUAACAGGUUUCCAUAUCAUAGGACACUCUUUUUCAAAGUGAUCCGGACUGUUGCACUUUGAACAUCUGAGAGCAUUUCUACCUACAGGUUUUACAAAAACUUUCUUGAAAUGAUUUUUGUAAGCCUCUUUCGAGGGUCUUUUCUUAAUUCUUUCUUUUACUUUAGGAAAAUCAAUCAAGGGAAUUGUUUCUGCUGACAUACCUAGACCAGACUUAUUGAAGUAAGGUUUUUGAGCUGAAAGAAUUUUUUCAAGUUUCUCAGACCCUAUUGAAAAUUUCUUUGAAAUAUUUGAUAAGUCUGUUUUUAAAAGAGCAUUUUCUUUUAAAAGAUUAUCUUCAUUUUCUUUAAGAGUGGAAACAGUCAAGUCUAGACUUUUAACUCUUUCUACUAAAACAUUUUCCUUUUGUUUUAGAGCUGAGUUUUCCUUUUUCAAUUCAGAAAUUCUUUUGAGAGAAGUCUUAAGACUAAAACACAGUUCAUCAAUGUAUUUAGAAACUUUGACAGGAAUUUUAAAAUUACUUGCCUCAAAUUCAUUAUCUGAGUCUGAUCCAAAGUCUGAUCCGGAGUCUGAGUCUGAUUGUGCCAUCAGACAUAGAUUGGCAUAUUCAUUAUCACUUUCUUCACACUCAGUAUCACUCCAGGUUUCAGCUUUGAGAGCUUUUCGGAAUUUUUCAGCUUUUCCUCUCUUCUUCUUCAGAAGAGGAUAGUUGGGUCUGAUGUGUCCCUUCUUCUUGCAUUCAAAGCAGAUUACAUCUUUAUUUGGUUCCUCAUCAUCAACAGAUUUGGUCUGUUGUCUUUGAAAGCUUUGUUUCUUUGAGUUGAACCUUCUUCCUUUUCUAUUCAGUUUUCUGAAUCUCCUUAUCAUGAGAGCAAGCUCCUCAUCGUCCAUAUUAUCUUCAGAAUCUGUAUCAUCAGAAUCAUCAUUUGAUUUUAAUGCAAUGGAUUUCUUACCUUUUGGAUCUUCAUCUUCAUUGAUCCUUUCCACUUCAUAAGACUGAAGAGUUCCAAUCAGCUCGUCGACAGAUAGUGGCAUAAUUCUUUGCGUCUCUCUUAUCGAAGUCUUUAUGUGAUUCCAAUCCUUGGAGAGUCCACGCAGUAGCUUGUUUACCUUCAUGGGAUCAAAAAUUUUUUGUCCUUGAUUCUCAAGACCAUUGACAAUAUAUGUAAAACGACUAAACAUGUCAGUUAUAGAUUCUCCUGGUUUCAUUUUGAAGGCUUCAUAUUGACCGAGAAGAAUGUUAAUUCUGGUUUCCUUCACUCGAUCUGUUCCUUCAUAGGUGAUAUGUAAUCUGUCCCAGACUUCUUUUGCUGUAACACAAGAAGAUAUUCUAUUAUAUUCAGUUGGUGACAAAGCACAAUAUAAAGAGUAAAUUGCUUUUGCAUCGAGUGCUUGUCUCUUGUUUAUCUCUUCCUGAGUCAUUCCGCUGGUCUCAACAGUUUCUUUCCCUCUUUCAGAGACUGAUGCAACUGUAGGAGUAAUUCCUUUUUCUACAACGUCCCAUUCCAGAGGAUCCUUUGAUCGUAGGAAAGCUUUCAUCUUGUUUUUCCAGAUGUUGUAAUCCUUUCCAUCAAAGUAGGGUGGUCUGGUAUUGCUUUGCCCUUCCAUCAGCCCUGGUGUUAGCAUACUAGCCAUGGAUCUUUAACUCUGAAGUAAAACAUUUCAAACAAAGUGAGUACACAGGCUCUGAUACCAAUUGAGAUAGCUAGUAUAAACACCUAGAGGGGGGGGAAUAGGCGCACAAACAAUUUGUCGAAAUACGGAAACAAUUCUUAACAAAAUGAAAUACGAUCGAGGUAUAGAGAGAGAGAGAAAAUUGAACACAGGAUUUAUAGUGGUUCGGCUUAUUCCAAGCCUACGUCCACUCUUCCGCACUGACAGCCCACCGGCUGAAUUUCACUAUGAUCAAAAGAGAAGUUACAGCACAGCUUUGCCUUGAUUCCACAGUGUAGAUGUUCUACCACACCUUCUCAAGGUUUCUCACAAAUAUAGACUCUCUUUUGUAUACAAGUAUUCGCUCAAAGGAAUUGUCUAAACAAAAAGGAGCUUCAGACUUUGGAAUUCAUCUAUCGCGCACACCUCGAACAACUAAGAACGUCUUCCUUAUAUACUCCUUUAUGCCAUCAUACUCGUUAGCACUUACCAAAGGAAUUCCUCCAAUCUACCCGUUGGACGGAAUCAAUUAGGAAGAUUGUUCGAGCUAUUAAAGGAACAUGUUGAUAGCCCAUCAAUCCUGUUCGCCCAUACAAUCAGGAUCUCGGUUUCCAUAAGUAGAACCUUCCAAUAAUAUUUAGACAAUCAUCGAAUCUUCAAUCAUUGAAUCAAUCUUGAUCAAUCAAAGGAUUCUGUUACGUCUUCUCCAACCACGAGAUCUUCUCCAGAUGAUAAGGAUAAAUCCUGAACAAAACAUCCAGUUCUGGAUAACCUUUCUUCAACGGAUUAGAGACUGUCAAUGAGGAUAGACUUUGAGUCUUGAGUCUGGCUGUCCGGAAGUCUUCAGACUUUAAAUAACAGAGUCUGCAGACCUUCAGACUAGACUGAUGAAACGUUUUGUCAACUUCAAAACACUUCACGAGGAUUUCUCCAACAUGGAGCCCUUCAGGAGAUCCCGCCAUCUUUCAAGAAGAAGGUCCCUCCACUUCUUUGCACCUAUCAAAUUUUUGAAUAUACGUUCAAGAUUGACAUUAUCGAGGAAGCAUGGAGCAUGUGCUAUCGCAAAAGGAUCGUGGUACCUAAAGGGCUUGAGGGAGAAGAAAAGGCCCACCACGACUCCAUGUCCUACAUCCACAACCAUCGUAUUCCAACAAAAUGGAAGCCGUCAGUCCCUUACUCAAUCAGCAAGAGCAGCCAACACGAGCAAGCAAAACUCGUGGAGAGGGAUUUGGGAAUGGACUGGAUACCCACCUCAGAGCCGGUCCAAGAAAGCAAGCAUCUGCGCAAGCGCAAGGCUCCCCGUCACAUAUAAAUUGACAAUCAUGUGCCCCUUAGUGUUAAUAGUGUGAAAGUUUUGUCCCAUUGUUUAUGGACUUUUAUUUAAUAUCUAGUAUUUUAUUCUGUCAUUUCAAUUUCAAGUUUUAGAUGUCAGAAGUCUAAGGUCUAUAAAAUCCUCUUUUGAUAAAUAAAAAAACAGUUAGAUCAUUGCCAUGGGUCAAUCUUUGUUUACUUUCGUGCUCAUUCAUUGUUUUCGCAACGACAGGUAAUUAUGAAUCGCCGGCCACCAAUCGCUCGCAAAUGGCCUCAUGCAAUAAGGCCCAAUCAGAAUGAUGUACAAAAUCGCCUCAUUAACAUUGAAGACGGCGUGGGACAGAUGUCCAUUGUCCUUCAACAACUCUCGAGACAAAUGAAAUCUACUCAAGCUGAGGCCAACUCUGUAGUUGCCUUAAACACCAUCAUGACACCCGCAAAUUUGCUAAAAAAUAGCGAGUACCAUAGACAGUUUGAAAGGAUCAUGAAAAAGUUAAGCCAGCUGCAGGAGCAGAAUCCCAUGGACCUGUACAAUUACGCCCACACUGAGAUCCCUGAAAAACUCAAAGCACCUGAAUGCGAAAGGUAUGCUGAUACCUCCCGCCUAGAGACCUACUUGCAGGCCUACUUGGUUCGAAGGAUGAUCCAAUCGUACCAAUCAAGCUUGACUGGCCCUGCCUUGCGAUGGUACAUUGUUAGGAAGAUUAGUCCCCUUAAAACCUGGAGGGAACUAAUUAUGUUUUUCACCAAGAGUAUAAUAUUGACAUCACCUUGCCUUAUGAAGAGCCGAUGAUCGCGGAGCACGAGGAGCCGUUAGUCGCUGAGGUAGGAGAGGAGCAUGUCAAUGAAGCCUUGCAUAAUAAAUGGGCGACUGAGCAACAUCCUGUUAUUGAAAAAUUUCCCACUAGGAAGGGCAAGGAGCCUUUGUACGAGAUCAUGGACUUAGAGCCUGUUCAAGAGCGGGGCACGGCUGGACAACUCCCCAAGCUUACUCCAAGAGUUAGGGUCCAAAGAAUACCAACCCUAUCAACUUGGAAAGUGAAUCAGACAGUGAAACUCUAAUCGAGCUGGCAAAACGAAAGGCCUUACUCAAAAGGUCUAGACCAGAAGCAAAGAAAAGAAAGCCUAAGCAGAUCAAUUCAGCAUCCGCCGACGAGCCAACGCACCAAAGCUUCGAGCAUUCCCAAGAAUACAGCUUUGAAGGCUACCGUCCUCUAGAGUACAACCCUGAAGACUUCCCGGCCCUAGAAUACAAUCCCAAGGACUUCCAGCAUUAUUUCGACAAUGAAAUUGACGAUUUAUCGUAUAACUGUUUUUUACUCUCAUCCGGGGAUGAAGGCCCGUCAGAAGAGGAAGCAUAUGUCUUUAUCCGCUACGAUCCUAACGAAAUAUUAAGUUCGUCCUCUGACCAUGAGGAUAGCUUCAAUACUUCAUCUUCAUUCGGAAAUUUUGACCAAGAAGAAAGCAAUGGGGUAAUCUCGGUAGAAUCCAACUUCCCUGAAACAGAAAAAUUCACCACUAUAACAAAUAUGCAGUGGGAAAACCAGUGGCCUAACCAGGAUACAUCAAGCCCAUCUUACGCUCAUAGGAUCAUGACCCCUAGAGAGAUGUGGAUACCUAAUCUCCGUAAGUAUAAUGGUACAACUUGCCCCGUGGCUCAUUUGUAGUACCUCCACACUGAAAUGAAUCGGUACUAUGGCUCGAUGUCAUUCACAACUCAGGCCUUCCAAGAAAGUCUUACGGGGUCAGCAUUACAAUGGUUCAUCACAUCAGAUAUCUACCUCAUGAGAGAUUGGAAUGAGCUGUCUUCUACAUUCCCGCUUCAGUAUCAAAGCCAAAUUGGGACUGAAGUGCCUUGUCAGAACUUGGUUCACUUUAGAAGAAGACCAACGGAGGAUUUCCGAGUGUAUGCAAGGAGGUUUAAGGCUUUUAUGAUGCAAACUUACCCUUAACUGGCCAAAGAAGAAAUGAUAAAGCUAUUCAUAAGGGCUUUACCUCGCAAGCAUCGUUGUUGGUUGCAUGGGUUGCACUUCCAUAGCUUCAAUGAAGUGAUCCUUUCAUGCGAAUACUUCGAGUUUACUGGAGACGAGGAACUCAAAGGCGCUUGAUUUCAGAACCAACACUAUCAAAACAUUCCUUUACAAAGGAGUUUUCAUGGGUUUUACUUGUUUUUAUAAUUUCAUGUUUCUUAUCUUGUCUAAUGUGCUACUGUUGUAUUUUCCAUUCCGAAUACUCUAUUGUACAGUUAUAAUAUUUUGUUUUAAGAGCAUGAGGCGGUACUCCAAACCAGCCCAGUGAUGUUGUCCAACCAUGAAAAGAAAAUAUUAUCCAAGGGGAAUACUGAGAGCAGGGCUUCCUCAUGCUUUUUUUCCCCCAAAAAUGUAUUUUGAAAAUAAAAAAUAUUUCAUCACCCAAAAGCUUUUGUCAAAACAAGAUGAUAAAUUUAAGUACGUUUGUCUUUCUAACCCUCUCACUUUAUGUUUCAGAACAUCAUCCCCUUUGAUUUAGUGUGACAAAAGGUAUUUGAAACUAGCACAUCGUGUGAACAGACCAAACUUGAGAACACAUUUUCAAGAAAGCAGGGGCAAACAGAAAGGAGCAUCAUGUUUCAAAAAAGGGUAAGUCUUAUUCCCUUAACAUAAUAUUGAGAAUGAUAACCCCUCUCUUCUAUUUACAGGAUACAAAAGGUGAGACGUAAUAGGUAUAGGCAUACAGUUGAAAUCGAAGCAUCCAUGACAUGCCUCACUCCUGCCUAGCUCCAUCCUAAGCCAAAUGACUAUCUUGUCGCACAACAUGCCCAAACAGCUAGAUGUUAUAGUUUCAAUUUCGACGAGCCUAGAAGCAUAAGGAAGAAGUUCAUUCUCUUCCUUUAAAGUGAUUACUAUUAACAGGGAGAAAAUCCAAACAAUCAAGGCGAUCUAUAGCCCCACACCCUGGAUAAUGACUUUGGAAUCUAGAAGCUUCACUCCAGACACAUAUUCUUCCAAGGAGUAAUUGCCAUUAGAAAGCUUGAGAUUUUUUUAUCGCAGAUUCCAUAGAAGCUUGAGGUACAUGACUUUUGCCCAAUGAUGUUAUAGUUAAAGACAGAAGGAGAAAUUCCACAAAAAGAAGGCGUUGAAGAUGAAUCAACAACUAGCAAUCAUGCAUACAUAGUCACAAAUGAGGAAGGCCAAUUGAAGGAAACAUUGAACUAUGCCAAGAUAAAGAGGCCAUCAUUGACAUUCAAAUAUCUUUAGGAGCUAGCAUAGACAAACUCUGGGGAAGGGUAAUUUGGUAUCGUUUCCAAUACUCCCACUAUUAAAACCCGCUUUUGACAUAUUUUCCCUAUUUGACAGGGAGCAUCACAACUCAAGAACCAAACUCAAUGGUUAGGUUUGACAAAUCAAUACUGGCCAAGCUAGUAUACGGAAAUGACCUGCAUCGAAUUCACUUGACUUCGUGUAAAGGGGCGUGUCAUCCAGGAGCCAAUUCAAAGAAUAAUUGACCUAAUGAAGCAAUGGACAUAGGACUUCAUGUCUCCCUCUCACUUCAGGUUCACCCAAUCAUCUGCAAACCAAUGAAGGGUAAAGUUGUAUCGAUUCCAGUUAUUCGACUCUUGAAAGAGUUCUUGACUGAUACAUUCCCUCUUGUUUGUUGCAGGAUCACCUGACUGUCAAAAGCAUGGAUAACAAAUCAAUGAGAAGCAUGUCUUGUUGCAAGAUCACUUGACUGUCAAAAACAAGGAUAACAAAUCAAUGAGAGGCAUGACAAACUCUCCUAAACGAAAUGACGUCCUAAGUAAUUGCCAAAACAAAUAACAGAAAAUCUUCAGACCUCAACCCACGUUUAAUUUUGGCCAGACUAAUUGAUCUACUUGUACAUCUUCUUUUCUGCAAGGGCAAAAGCAAAAAGACCCGUCAAAUCAAUGAUCAGAUCCCUAACAUUGACUGAUCAUUUGUGUGUCAUAUCCCUAAUCAAUCGGGACGACCAUCGACACCCAUUUGUGAAUAACCCUUUGUAAAUAACUCUUUUAAUGUUCAUAUUUCAACACAUUUGUGAAUACCGUUCCACCAAGUAAACACCCCUAAAGCUGUUAAUAAGUUUUUCUUGAGUAAAAAGCCAUUCAUUUAUUUUGAGAGUACAAACUCCAUCACAUCAUACACUGCAUGCCUUUUUCCAAGUGAAUUCUGCAUGAUGAUUUUGUCUGUCUAAAUCACUGAUUCCAUUGAGAAUUAUUAGAAUAGACAACUAAUUGAAAAAUACAAGAUUGAUUGAGCAUGCUAGAUGAGGCGCGUCAGAAUGAUGACAGGCAAGCCAUAUCCUACACACAGUCCCCCAUCUACACACUUGUGAGAUAAGUGCAGAAGAUUCUAUGGCUGCAGGGUAAAGAGUUCUCUCACAAAUGGUACGAUAACCAAAAUAGUGAGAGGCAUUCCAUCGCUCACCCCAUUGAGCCCCAUACACUAGUGAAGCUUCUCUCAUACCCCCAUCAAGAACCACCCCACAUUGAGGUAGAGCGGGGGCAAAGCAGCAUCACAAGGUGAGAAGAGAGAUAAAAAUUUUCUUGCUCGCACUUGCAUCAAUCUUCGGGUGUCUUUAUUGCAUAUGAACACUCUCGUUAAUUAAGUGCCAUGGAAUGACGAAGAGCAAUUCUUUCUGCACUUGUAUUCAUUGUACAACCCAAUUGAGUCUAUAAUUUCACCAUCUCAUGGAGGCAAAACAGAAGUUACUACCAUUUAAACAGCAUAGCUUGGAGCGCUAGCUGAAGUCGAUGACUCAAGAGUCUAACAACAGUGUCGUGAUUGAACUUGCCUAGGCUAGUUCCUCUAACGACAAGAAUAAAAAAACAUGGGCAUACAAAAGCAGUGUACCUGGUAAAAGCAAGGUCAAUGCCCAUGAAUGAAUAAUCGGAAUAAAAAUAGGGGCAUGAAAAAAGCAAUGUGCCUGGUAAAAGCAAGGCCAAUGCCCUCCAGUCAAAAAUACAGCCAAGAAAAAGUUGCUGUUGUGGUCCAUAGAACCUCUAUCUAACAGUGAGAAGAAAGACCGGUGACAAAUGCCAAGACAGUCACGAACUCUCAUCCUCUUACAUGUAAGCCAAGUCUACGUUACAUUCCCAUUGUAAAAGUCUCUUCAGACUAGAGGCGCUUCAAUUAACGUAUGAUUUCAUAUGUUCAUAAGCAUCGCUCGAAGAAGUACGAGCAAGAUUACUCUAUCUCUUUUCGUAGGAUUCUUAACUUGCAAACCCGAAGAGGUUCGUGCGGCACUCCAUUCAUAAGCCUUGAUCUUGAUGGUCCCCUUUGAUGAGCCGCUAACCAAGACUUCAUCACAGUUUCAACAAAGACCUCUCACAUUGGUAAAGUCGUACUGUUUGUGAGAAUACUCAGACCCCUACUGACAUGAUGACAGUGAGAUAGUGCGGUCUUUAUAAAUCUUGCAUUAAUGGUAAGGAUAGCCUUUUCCAUGAGAGUGAGUGAAAAGUUCUUUCAGACUGAAAGUCCCUCAUCUGGCAUGCUCAAGACAUCUACAUUCUAAAUGAAUGUUGUCUUUCAAAAUCUUCCCCGGUGGAAAUAAGAUGAUGCAAAAUUGACAAAAUUAUCAUGUAUGAAUCUCAUUUGAACUCAUGACUUUAUAGCAUAUACAAUCAUGUGUGCAUAUUGUGCAAAUAACAGACAUACUCUCAUAGGUCAGAGAUAUUGCCAAGUAAGCAUAUCCCUAUCCCCAUUGUCUUAAAGUACCUACCACUGUCCAGGUACUCUCUUCUUGACACUCGACCUAUUCGAGUUGUCCCUUGAGUUUGGGUGCUUACAACCGUCUAAGUAUCCCCUUGUAUUUAAGUACCCACCACUUGCCGGGUACUCCCUUUUUCUUGACACUCGACCUAUUCGAGUUGUCCCCAGAGUAUUGAUACUUGUGACUGACCAAGUAUCCCUUUAUUGUUGAAUACCUACUGCGGUCUAGGUAUCCUUAUAUCGUCAAGUACCCACCAUUGUCCAGGUACUUCCUUUUCAUGACACUCAACCUGCCCGAGUUGUCUCCAAAUAAUAACAGCUGUUUGAGCAUUCCAUUUGCUUUGCUUGGCACAGCCGUCCAACUACCCAGGUGUCCCAACCCAUUCGAGUGCCUGUGGCCAUCCAGGUAAGCCUUGUACCACAUUCAAAUUCUCAAUUACAAAAGGUGAGAGACCUUCAUGAAUAUUCAGGGCACGUCCUCGAUAUUCCCCAUACCAGGAGGUGAGAGACCUUCAUGAAUAUCCAAGGUACGUCCUCGAUAUUCCCAACUACCAGGAGGUGAGAGACCUUCACGAAUAUCUCAGGUACAUCCUCGAUAUUCCCAAUUACCAGGAAGUGAGAGACCUUCAUAAAUAUCUCAGGUAUGUCCUCGAUAUUCCCCAUACCAGGAGGUGAGAGACCUUCAUGAAUAUUCGGGGCACGUCCUCGAUAUUCCCCAUACUAGGAAGUGAGAGACCUUCAUAAAUAUUCCUGGCACGUCCUCGAUAUUCUCAAUUACCAGGAGGUGGGAGACCUUCAUGAAUAUCCAAGGUACGUCCUCGAUAUUCCCAACUACCAGGAGGUGAGAAACCUUCACGAAUAUCUCAGGUACGUCCUCAAUAUCCCUAAUUACCAGGAGGUGAGAGACCUUCAUGAAUAUCUCAGGUACGUCCUCGAUAUUUCCCAUACUAGGAGGUGAGAGACCUUCAGGAAUAUUCUGGGCAUGUUCUCGAUAUUCCCCAUACUAGGAUGUGAGAGACCUUCAUGAAUAUUCGGGGCACAUCCUCAAUAUUCCCAAUUACCAGGAGGUGGGAGACUUUCAUGAAUAUCUCAGGUACACCCUCGAUAUUCCACAUACCAGGAGGUGAGAGACCUUUAUUAAUAUUCGUGGCACGUCCUCGAUAUUCCCCAUACCAGGAGGUGAGAGACCUUCAUGAAUAUUCGGGGUACGUCCUCGAUAUUCCCAAUACCAAGAGGUGAGAGACCUUCAUGAAUAUUCGAGGCACGUCUUCGAUAUUCCGAUUACCAGGAGGUGAAAGACCUUCAUGAAUAUUCGGGGCACGUCCUCGAUAUUCCCCAUAUCAGGAGGUGAGAGACCUUCAUGAAUAUUCGAGGCACGUCCUUGAUAUUCCCCAUACCAGGAGGUGAGAGACCUUCAUGAAUAUCCAAGGUACGUCAUUGAUAUUCCCAACUACCAGGAGGUGAGAGACCUUCACGAAUAUCUCAGGUACGUCCUCGAUAUUCCCAAUUACCAGGAGGUGGGAGACUUUCAUGAAUAUCUCAGGUACGUCCUCGAUAUUCCUUAUAUCAGGAGAUGAGAGACCUUCAUGAAUAUUCGGGGCACGUCCUCGACAUUUCCAAUACUAGGAGGUGAGAGACCUUCAUGAAUAUUCGGGGCACGUCCUUGAUAUUCCCCAUACCAGGAGGUGAGAGACCUUCAUGAAUAUUCAUGGCACGUCCUCAAUAUUCCCAUUACCAGGAGGUGAGAGACCUUUAUGAAUAUUCGAGGCACGUCCUCGAUAUUCCCCAUACCAAGAGGUGAGAGACCUUCAUGAAUAUUCAUGGCACGUCCUCGAUAUUCCCAUUACCAGGAGGUGAGAGACCUUUAUGACUAUUCGGGGCAUGUCCUCGAUAUUCCCCAUACCAAGAGGUGAGAGACCUUCAUGAAUAUUCGGGGCACGUCCUCGAUAUUCCCCAUACUAGGAGGUGAGAGACCUUCAUGAAUAUCCAAGGUACGUUCUCGAUAUUCCCAACUACCAGGAGGUAAGAGACCUUCACAAAUAUCUCAGGUACGUCCUCGAUAUUCCCAAUUACCAGGAAGUGGGAGACCUUCAUGAAUAUCUCAAGUACGUCCUCAAUAUUCCCCAUACCAGGAGGUGAGAGACCUUCAUGAAUAUUUGGGACACGUCCUCGAUAUUCCCCAUAUCAGGAGGUGAGAGACCUUCAUGAAUAUUCGGGGCACGUCCUCGAUAUUCCCCAUACCAGGAGGUGAGAGUCCUUCAUGAAUAUUCGGGGCACGUCCUUAAUAUUCCCCAUACCAGGAGGUGAGAGACCUUCAUGAAUAUUCGGGGCACGUCCUCGAUAUUCCCCAUACUAAGAGGUGAGAGACCUUCAUGAAUAUCCAAGGUAUGUCCUUGAUAUUCCUAAUUAUCAAGAGGUGAGAGGCCUUCACGAAUAUCUCAGGUACGCCCUCGAUAUUCUCAAUUACCAGGAGGUGGGAGACAUUCAUAAAUAUCUCAGGUACAUCCUCGAUAUUCCCCAUACCAGGAGGUGAGAGACCUUCAUGAAUAUUCGGGGCACGUCCUCGAUAUUCCCAUUACCAGGAGGUGAGAGACCUUCAUGAAUAUUUAGGGUACGUCCUCGAUAUUCCAACUACCAAGAGGUGAGAGACCUUCUUGAAUAUGCGAGACCCAUCCUCAAUAUUCCCAACUAUCAUGAGGUGAGAGACCUUCAUGAAUAUCCAAGGUACAUCCUCGAUAUUCCAACUACUAGGAGGUGAGAGACCUUCAUAAAUAUCCAAGGUAUGUCCUCGAUAUUCCAACUACCAGGAGGUGAGAUACCUUCACGAAUAUAUGAGACCCAUCCUCAAUAUUCCCACUACCAGGAGGUAAGAGACCUUCACAAAUAUCCCAGUACACCCUCGAUAUUUCCCAAUUGCCAGGAGGUGGGACAUCUUCACAAAUAUCCAAGGUAUGUUCUCAAUAUUUCCAAUUAUUAAGUACCCCAUCGAUACUUGUGAAUGUGCAAUUAUUCCGCAAGAAUUGAUACUUGUGAUCAUCCAAAUACCCCUUCAAUGCCUAUGGUCAACCAAAUACCCAUUUUGAUGCUUGCAAAGGCCCAAAUAUCCUUCAGGUUAGUACUUGUGAUUAUCCAGGUACUCUUUGAUAUGCUUGUGAAUGUCCAGGUAUCUUCCAGAAUCGAUGCCCUGAGAAAGGUUGGCACAUCCUCCCGAGAAAAGUCGGGUACCAACUGUUGUCUUUGACAAAGGUCAGACACCCCCACAAAACAGAUGCUCUGAGAAAAGUUGGCGCAUCUCCCGAGAAAAGGUCGGGUACCAACUAGUGUCCUCGUUGCAAAUUAGGCACCCACAAAUGAGAUGCCCUGAGAAAGGUCGGUGCAUCUCCUGUCAAAGCGACUGAAGAACGGUUCGGGUCCUAGACAAAUCAUUGAUUGUUUUAAUAGGUGACCGAAGAAUGGUUCAGGUCUUGGAGAAGUAAUUUCCCGUUACGGCGACCGAAGAAUGGUUCCGGUCCGAGACAAACCACUGAUUUCUCUAACGGGCGACCGAAGAAUGGUUCGGGUCCUAGAGGAGCAAUCUCCCAUCAAGACGACCGAAGAAAGGUUUAGGUCCUAGACAAAUCAUUGAUUACUCUAACAGGCGACCGAAGAAUGGUUCGAGUCCUAGAGAAGCAAUUUCCCGUCAUGGCGACCGAAGAAUGAUUCGGGUCCGAGACAAACCGCUUAUUGCUUUAACAGGCAACCGAAGAAUAGUUCGGGUCCUAGAGGAGCAAUCUCUCGUCAAGGCGACCGAAGAAAGGUUUGAGUCCUAGACAAAUCAUUGAUUGUUUUAAUAGGUGAUCGAAGAAUGGUUCGGAUCCUGGAGAAGCAAUUUCCUGUCACGGCGACCGAAGAAUAGUUCGGGUCCGAGACAAACCACUGAUUGCUCUAACAGGCGACCGAAGAAUGGUUCGGGUCCUAAAGGAGCAAUCUCCCGUCAAUGCGACCGAAGAAAGAUUCGGGUCCUAGACAAAUCAUUGAUUGUUUUAACAGGUGACCGAAGAAUGGUUCGGGUCCUGGAGAAGCAAUUUCCCGUCACGGUGACCGAAGAAUGGUUCGGGUCUGAGACAAACCACUAAUUGCUCCAACAUGCGAUCGAAGAAUGGUUCGGGUCCUGGAGGAGCAAUCUCCCGACAAGGCGACCGAAGAAAGGUUCGGGUCCUAGACAAAUCAUUGAUUGUUUUAACAGGCGAUCGAAGAAUGGUUCGGGUCCUGGAGAAGCAAUUUUUCCGUUAAGGCGACCGAAGAAAGGUUCGGGUCCUAGACAAAUCAUUGAUUGUUUUAACAGGCGAUCGAAGAAUGGUUCGGGUCCUGGAGAAGCAAUUUCCCGUUAAGGCGAAGAAAGGUUCAAGUCCUAGAUAAAUCAUUGAUUGUUUUAACAGGUGACCGAAGAAUGGUUCAGGUCCUGGAGAAGCAAUUUCCCGUCAUGGCGACCGAAGAAUGGUUCGGGUCCUGGAGAAGCAAUCUCCCAUCAAGGCGACCGAAGAAAGGUUCGGGUCCUAGACAAAUCAUUGAUUGUUUUAACAGGCGACCGAAUAAUGGUUUGGGUCUGAGACAAACCGCUGAUUGCUCCAACAGGCGACCGAAGAAUGGUUCGGGUCCUAGAGGAGCAAUUUCCCGUCAAGGCGACCGAAGAAAGGUUCGCGUCCUAGACAAAUCAUUGAUUGUUUUAACAAGCGACCGAAGAAUNNNNNNNNNNNNNNNNNNNNNNNNNNNNNNNNNNNNNNNNNNNNNNNNNNNNNNNNNNNNNNNNNNNNNNNNNNNNNNNNNNNNNNNNNNNNNNNNNNNNGCCUUAAUACUUGCCAACUCGGGGUUCACACCCUAUCUCACUUACUCCCGGUAAGUAAUUACAGGUAUCUUCUUAUCUGUCUUAGUAUAUGUAAUGUUAUAUCGCUCUUUUUGCAUAGGAUAAUAGGUCCCAAGUAAAAUAUAAUCUGUUACGCAUGAAUGGAUAAAAUGUAGGCAUCAAUUUGUCUUUGAAUGCAACCUCUGCGAGCUCACCUUCAAAGAGAGGUAGCUGUUGACGCCUUAAAUUUCCUUUUAAUUAAUUAGGUUUUACUUUAAUUUAAUUUAAUUUAAUUUAAUUUAAUUUAUUUUAUCUUUUUCGGAUAAAAAAAUAAUAAUGAACGAAAAAACAGAAAAAACAAGAAAAAAAAUAGAAAAAAGCCCCUCCUCUGGGCCUCCUUGGCCCAUUUCCCCCUCAACCCGGCCAAGCUAGGUCUUCUUCUUCCUCGUGCUGUUGCAACACACGCGCCGGAGGGCGCGACGCCGGAGCAAACGGAAUGAACAGCGACGCACAUGGAGCAACUGGCACUGGACGGCGAUGGGACAUGGAGUAGGGGGUAGCUAGCGUCGGAUGGGAUGCUGGUUCGGCCGGCGAGGGCCACGGUAGCCGCCGGUCGAGCUCCAUCGAUCGGCCGCCCCUCAGCCUAUAAAUAGGCCUCCAUUUCCGUCGUUAGAGGCACACACACAGACGGCAAAGAGGAGAUCACUGACGAUAAGCUUCGAUAGCUUCCCCUGAGAGACUUCAGGUGAGGCCCAAAGAUGAGCCACCGAAGAUCUUAAGUCUAGCCGGAGAAGCGAGCUCGAGAGGGAGAGAGACAGACGACGAAGGAUCGAGGGCUGCGAAUCUCGAACCUCCCACUGAGAGACUUCAGAGGGGGGGCCGAGGACGAGCAGACCAAGAUCCAGAUCUGGCCGGAGGAGAGAAGUUCUGAGCAGAGGAGGUGAGAUCCGAGGGCGACGGUAGGUUAGAUCUAAUCAGAUCUGGGAGACGACACUGCUUCGCCGCCACCUGCCGAGCCACCGCCGCCACCUGCUAAGCCACCACCGCCAUCCCUGACAUUGUCAACCGCCCAUGCCGAAGCUCCAGCCAGCCACCGUGUUCGCUAUCGUCCUCCGACGCUGUCCGACGCAAACCGAGACCUCUGCAGAGCCGCGUCAUGCACCCUCUGACGUCAUCGCCAACCGCUCGCUCGCCAUCCGCCACCUCACCACAGGUAAUAAAGGUCAUCGUCGUCAUCGUCGCCACCGUAGCCACCGUUGCCAUCAUCACCAUCGCAGUCGUUGCCGCCAUUGCCCCGGCGAUGCUUCGUUCCCCUCCCCCCCCCUCAGCGCUGCGAAUCAGGAACCCUAGGGUUCCCGAUUUUUCGGGUUGCGACUCCGGGUCGUAAGGUCGAACCCGGCCCAGGAACUGGGUAGGGUUUUGCGCAAUUUAGGGUAGCGAAAAUUCGGGUUGCGAAUCGUAGCCGGGUCGGGUAGGGUUUCGCUGGGGAGCGGGUUGUCGGGCCAGGCCGGGCGUCCCAAAACGCUCGGCCACGAUGCCGUUUCGUUUUUUUUUUUUUAAAGGAAAAAAUACGAGUCGGGGCUCGCGUUGCGUGCGGGUUGUCGGCCUAGGUCAGACCCAACCCGCGGAUCCGACCCGAGUCCAUUUUUAUAAUAUUUUUAAAUAAAAAAUAUAAAAAAAUAAUUUAUUUUCGAAAAAAUCAAAAAUAAUUUAUUUUUGAAAAAAAUAUUAAAAAAUCUUUUAAUUUCCAGAAAACCGAAAAAUAUUUAAAAAUUGUUGAAAAUUUUUUUAUUUUCUGAAAAAAUCAAGAAAAAUAAAAAAUAAUUUAUUUUCCAAAAAAUAUUUUAUUUUCCGAAAAAUAAAAAAAAUCAAAAAUAUUUCAUAAAAUCCAAAAAAAGCCAAAAAUUCAUGAAAAGGCAAAGAAAAUUCAGAAAAAGCCAAAAAGACUUGUAUUUUUCCAAAAAAUACCAAAAAAUCCAAAAAAAUCCCUUUUAUGUCCAAAAAAAAUUAGAAAAAGACUCAAAAAAUGUUUUUCCUCCCAAAAAUGCAUGGAAAAUUGCUCGAACAUCCAAAAGACCUCAAGGUUUAAACAAGAUUAGGUACCGAAAGGGCAUUAUCGAUUAACUAGUGUAAUCAAGUCGCCAAUUCUAAUUUCUCUGAUUGCGCAGGAGUAAGUAUUUCUCCCGAUACUUCACUUGGAUUUCUAAUCAACCCACCAUAAAUUGAUUAGUGGCGACUCCAUUUUAAAAAUUGAUUUACAGGUUAAAAACUUGAACCAUUAAGUCGUGAAUUGGUGGACUUGGGAGAGUCCGGCAAUAACUAAUUUUAGCCAAGCCAUUAGCCUCCUUAGGCGCUCGUACCCGAUUGUGGGCGCUAAAAAAAAAAAGAGGUCACGACACUGUGUAUCCAACAAACUCAAGUUUCCUGGUCCUGAAAUUGAGUUUCAAAUUUGAAGUUCCCCGAAGAUACCUCAUAAUCCACUUCACUACAUUCCAAUGCUCUUUGCUUGAAUUUGACAAAUAGCGACUAACAACGCCAACUGCAUGCACCAAGUCUGGGCGUGUACAUACUAUUGCAUACAUUAAACUUCUUACAGUUGAGGCAUAUGGAACACUUUCCAUAUCUUUCUUCUCUUUAUCAGUCAUAGGACUUUGCUUCAUAUUUAACUUAAAGUGGGCAGCAAAAGGAGUACUAACCACUUUAGCCUUGUCCAUGUAAAAUUUCUGAAGUAUCUUCUCGAUAUAUUUCUCUUGCGACAAAAACAACUUCUUAACAUCUCUAUCUUAGGUAAUUCUAAUGUCAUGAAUCUGCUUAGUCGAGCCCAAGUCUUUCAUGGCAAAAGACUUGCUCAAUUGUUUCUUCAAUAACUCAAUUCUUGAAGCAUUCCUACCAACAAUCACAUAUCAUCAAUAUAAAGCAAGAGAAUAAUAAAUUCAUCAUCAGAAAAUUUUUGGACAAACACAUAGUUAUCCAAGAAAGUCUUCUUAUAGCCCUGUUCUGUUAUAACUGACACAAACUUUUUGUACCACUGCUUCGAUGCUUGUUUUAGGCCAUAGAGGCUUUUCUUCAAUUUGCACACAUAAUCCUCUUUCCCUUUCACUUUAAAACCCUUAGGUUGUUCCAUGUAUAUCUCUUCCUCCAAGUCACCAUGUAGGAAGACUGUUUUGACAUCUAUUUGCUCAAUUUCCAAAUCUAGGGUAGCUGCCAAGCCUAGUACCUCAUGGAUAGAAGACAUUUUCACUAUUGAAGAAAACAUAUCAUCAAAAUCAAUACCCUUUCUCUGACCGAAUCCCUUAACAAUCAAUCUAGCUUUAUACCAUGGUUGUGAAGUAUGUUCAUCUUGUUUCAACCUAUAUACCCACUUGUUCUUCAAAGCUCUUUUACCUUUAGAUAACUUCACAAACUCAAAAGUAUGAUUAUCAUAAAGUGACUACAUUUCAUCUCGCAUAGCAUCAAACCAAUUGUUUUUGUACUCAUUUUCUAUUGCUUCUGCAUAGCACUCUGGUUCACCUGCAACAGUCAAUAAUAUAUACUCAUCUUCAGAAUACCUGGUGGAAGGUCGUUGGUCUCUAACGGAUCUCCGGACUUGAACAUCCAGUGGAACAUCUAAUUGAGCCUCUAGUUCAGGAAUAUUAUUAUGUUUCAACAUGUUCAGGAACAUGUGCGUUAUUUGGAACAUUGACUUCCUGCUGCUUUUUGUCAACCUGUGUAGGUAUAUUUGUAAGAGGAACUUGAUCCAAAUCAACCAAAUUAUCACUAACCUGUGGUGCUGAAAUUAUCUUCGAUUUCUCAAUAUCCUCUAUUGUUUGAUCUUCCAUAAACACAACGUCUCUGUUUCUUACAAUUUUAUUUUCAACUGGAUCAUAAAAUUUGUAGCCAAGCAUAUCCUGUCCAUAAUCAAUAAAUAUGAAUUGUCGUGUUUUUACAUCAAGUUUAAACUUCUCAUCUUUGGGAAUAUGUACAAAUGCUUUGCAUCCAAAGACAUGCAAAUAAUCAUAAGAAACAUCUUUGUCUAUCCAAACUCUAUUAGGAACAUCAAACUCUAAAGGAAUGCAUGUAGUAAGAUUUAAUAUAUGUACAACUGUACUUAAAGCCUCACCCUAAAAGGAUCCAGGUAGCUUUGACUGUGAAAAUAAGCAUCUUACCCUUUCAACCAGUGUUCUAUUCAUUCUCUCAGCUAAGCCAUUUAACUAAGGCAUCUUGGGAGGUGUCUUUUGAUGUCGAAUACCUUGUUGUCUGCAAUAUUCAUCAAAAGGUCCAAUAUACUCUCCAUCAUUAUCAGUUCUGAUGCAUUUCAAUUUUUUUCCAGUUUGUCUCUCAACUGAAGCCUGAAAUUGCUUAAAAAUUAUCUAACACUUGAUCUUUAGUUUUUAAGGUAUGAAUCCAAAUUUUUCUUGAAAAAUCAUCUAUGAAUGUAACAAAAUAAAGAGAGCCACCAAGUUAUUUUGUUUUCAUAGGACCGCAAACAUCAGAAUGCCCUAAAUCCAGUAUACCUGACUUUCUUGAAGGAUGGGAGCUUUUAAAUGCAACUUUAUUCCGUUUUCCUGCUAAACGGUGAGCACACUUCUUUAGCGCCAAAUUUUUCAAUCAUGAAAGGAACUUCUUCUUGGCCAAUAUUGAUAAACCAUUCUCACUAAUGUGAUUGAGCCUCUUAUGUCAUAACUCAGCUGCAUCUUCGCUAUCUACUGCAUUAAUUUUGUCUGUGAACAACUUUGCCUACAUAAUGUACAACAAAGAAUAUUUUUCACCUCUAGCCACAACAAGAGAACCUUUAGUGAACUUCCAUUGACCAUUACUGAAGAUGCUACAAUACCCCUUGUCAUCUAAUUUGCCUGUAGAAAUCAAAUUCAAGCGGAUAUUAGGUAUAUGUUUAACAUUAUUCAAUACUAACCUUGUGCAAUUGUUGGUUUCUAGGCACACAUCACCGAUACCUAUAGCUUGAGCUAGCCCAUGGGAAAAUCCGAAGUCACCUGACCUGUAUGAUGUAAAGAAAUCCCUACGAGACGUAGCAUGAACGGAUGCACCACUAUCAAUUACCCAACUAGUCUCAUGAGAUACAAAAUUCACCACAUCACCUUCAAAAAUAAUGAGAAAGUCUUCUUUAAGUGCAGUAACACGAUUGUCGUCACUAUCAUUAUCACUUUGCUUCUCUUUACCUUUCUCCUUUUGUUUCUCCCUUUUUAACUGGUGACAAAAUCUCUGAAUAUGUCCCUUCUGAUGACAAUAAUGGCACUCAACAUUAGCAAAUUUAUUAUACUUAUCUCAAUUUUUAUCUCCAUUUCUCGGAUCUCGAGACUCAUUUCUUCCCAUUUUCUCAAUAACCAAGGCAUCAGAAUGUGAAGAGAACGAUCAUUGUGUCUUCCUUCUCAUCUCUUCAUUCAAAAUACUACUCUUGGCCAAAUCCAUGGUAAUCGUACCAUUUUGGAGCAUCAUUAGACAAAGAUGUUUGGAACGUCUCCCAAGAGUCCGGCAAAGUACCAAGUAACCAUAGUGCUUGUAUCUCAUCAUCAAACUUGAUUCCCAUUGCAGCCAACUGAUUUAUAAUUCCUUGAAAAGAAUUUAAAUGAUCAGUCAAACGAGUACCAUUUUGAUAUCUCAGAGCCAUAAUCUGUUUUAUCAAAAAUAACUUAUUAUUCCCAGUCUUUCGAGCAUAUAACUAUUCAAGCUUAUCCCAUAAACUGUGUGCAUGUAUUUCCUCGAUAAUAUGGUUCAAAAUAUUAUCAUCCACCCAUUGCCUACUAUAUAGACCAUUUAUCAUCAGUUUUAUUCUCUGGUUUCUUCUCAGCAAAUACGAGCAAAUAAAAAUCUUUCACAUAUAAAAGGUCUUCCCUCUUUCCUUUCCAAAUAUGAUAAUUCGAACCAUUCAAUGUAACCAUUCUACUUGUAUUCGUUUUUAUUAUUUAACACAAGGCAGAAAAAUCGAGCAAUAACCAGAUGCUCUUAUACCACUUUGAUGAGAGAAUAGUAACAAUUCGAACAAUAUCAAAUUAACGCAGCGGAACCUUCUUAUAUAAACCUAAUAAGAAUCGAUAUAGUAGAGUAAAAUAAAUACCAAGCACGUGAACACAAGACGAUUUUUUGCGUGGAAAACCUUCUCGAUGUGAGGAGAUAAAAAACCACAGGAUCAGAGUCCACCCGAAAAUCUUCACUAUCAACAAAAUUGGGUGAACAAUGUUCUUCUCUAGCAAAUACUAGAGGUACAUAGUAGCAAACACCUCAAGAACAUAAUUCUUGGCAAUAUACUUGAAUUUCACAAGAGAUCAAGGAUAAAUCUGAUAAAAAAACACAGGUUUUGAUCAAUCCAUGAAAAAUCUAAUGUAAGGAGCUUCAAACGAAAAUCAAACCGUUCAGAUUCAAGAAAAUUGCGCCACGUACAUGCUGACAAAAUUUCAUCUCAAUUGGACCAUGAAUCAACCUCCGAUGCCAGCUUGAUGUAAAUCAGAUAUUGCCCCAAACUCUAAAUUUUCUGCUUUCUCUUUUUCUCUUAUUAUUAUUUCCUUUGCGGCUAUCACUUUAUAUAGAUAGUGAUAAACCAUAUUUCCUCAUAUAACUUAUCAUAUGGGUUUAAGCUCUUUUUGGGCUUGCAAGUCAUUGGGCUUCCCCCACAUAAGAGUGAACCCAGCUAACAGUUGUUGGGCCAUCCAUGGCCGAGCCACCUCUUCACGGUUGCUCGUGGAGAUAUAGAAAUUGAGAAAAGCCGGGGAAAAUAGAAAAGAGUAGGCAAAAAGCUUAGGUGUUGCCUGAGAUUUUGGGUUCACCUCACUUCCCAGCAAUUUUUCUGCCUAUUUUUAGAGUAGUGCUUUUUUUGUGGAAGCUGCGUUGAGCAACAACGGCCUCCUCUGCUUAUGGCCUCCUCCUCUACUUCAUGAGGAAGAGGGUUUGUUUUAUGUCCAUGGUUUAUUUUUAAUUUUAAUUAUGCAAAUCAAAUGUUUAUUUGGAUGAUAUUUAUUUGAAUCCAUGUUAUAUCCAAACAUCAACAAACAUUGGAUAGGAUAUCUAAAAUCAUAACCUAUCCUUAUGCUAUCUGACAUUAUCCUAUCCAACGAAAAAUGCCCAGACGACCAAAUGUAGUUAUAAUGAUUUGUUUUCAUGUAUUUUAUAUCCAAUUGAAUUGUUUAUUUAUAGACACUUUGGGUUUAUACUUAAUUUAAGUGUUUUCACACUUAAGCGUAAGAGUAAUUGUAACUCUGAUUUUUUCGAUUAUAAUGGAUUAUUUUCUACUAACUUUCCUUGUGGAUGUAGGUAUCGAUACUUGAACUAAAUCACAAAAAUACCUUGUGUCCUCUAUUAUUCAUCGUUUAUUUUUCCAGUGAUUUUGCACUAAUUAUCUUGUGCCACCCCUGUUACUUUGAGUAAGAGUCAAGCGCCUCCGAUGAGCUAACAUUUUUUAGUGCUACUCCAACUCUAUUGGUGGCUUGUUCAGCAAAUAAACAACAUCAUCGACCUUUCCAUCCUACGACAAGUCCGCCACCGGAAACCAUACUGCCAAACUCCGCCACACGCGCCCACACCCGCCAUCAUGCACCAUUGCGGUUGACAUCCACGCGUUACACGUGCCAAAAGUGCUUGCCACUCUGAUGUCACUCACGUGCCAUCCACGUGCACGUUCCAGUCGUGUCAUCUCACCACAUCCGUAGCUGACCAUUGACCAUUAACCGAUUGUUGACUAUUGACCGGUUUAGUCAAUCCGGUCCGACCGGUUCCAAGGCACUUUUCAACUAGUUCUUGGCGAUCAUAGACUGGUUUCCAAGGUACUUCGACGUGUUGAGUCCAUUUGUGGGCCUUAUUUUCUCAAUAUUGAUUCUCCAAGUACUGGUUUGAGUUAGCAUUUGUUGUCCAGAUAAAAUGCAUAUUAUGGAUAAAUCAGAAGUUUCAAUAUCCAAUUGUCAUCAACUACAACCUAAGCAACUUAUAAGGAAGGCCAAUCAACUGCGAAACUAUAUUCCACAUGCAAGUUCAUUUGCUGCCACUUCUAUCGACAAGGCUUCUCCCAUUAGAUUGUCUGUCACUCUCUCAUUAGAGGAUCCUCAUUUCAUUCUCUGAGAAUGUAGUAUUUCUAAGUCCUCUGUUCCUUCUAUUAUAUCGGUUGCUUCAUUUAUUUCCGAAUCAUGUUUUCUUUACUCCACCUUCUACAAUCAUAUAAAUUCAAAUUCUAUUUUCUUUUAGUCAAAAUCAUUCAAUUUGCAUGCCCUUACCAUUAACACAACUGAUAAUUCCCAAAUAAGAGUUAGCCAUACAUAAGACAUUUCAAUAUACACUUUAACCUUGUCUCACACAUUUAUGGUUCCCAAAUUGCCUCUGAAUUUAGCUUAAUUUGGAUAAUUGUGUGAACUUAGCUUUGAUGUUUGACUUGAUAAUUGGAAAAUGCUAAUAAAUUUUAGGAUUUAAUCACAGUUUUUACAAUUUUGAGGACCCAAUUGAAUUUUUGUGACAUGAUUAUAUUUUUUGAAAGUUUUAAGAUUCAAUACAUUUUCAUGACAAGCUUUGAGAUUUAAUUGCACUUUUUAAAAGUUUUAAAACUCAAUAAUUUUUUCUUAAUCAAUUUUAGGAUUUUCAGUAUACUUUUUUCCAAGAACUAAUACUCGAGUUGUGAAGUUUCAUUAGAUUAAGCAUAUGGGACCAUCCUUCGAGAAAAGCAAAAAGACAAUAAUGAUGACGCAAGACUUCGGCACUUAAGAAGAAUAUUAAUGUAGGGCAUGUAAUUUUGUCAUCACUAAGAGAUUGAUUGGUCUUAGCUAACUCCACAGUAGGUACGUUAUUUCCUAGAAGUAAAGUUCAAGUCCAUAAUACUUCCAAAAUCCUAUUUGGUUUUUAGUAAUGAAUGCACUGCCAAUAUUGAAUUUGAUAGACCCAAUAACACUAUAGUUACACCUCUUACCUGAAAGGUAACCUUGGUAUACAAAGGCCGAAAGAAUGAAACAUUUCAGUAUCAUCUUUACCCAAAAAAUGUAUAGCCAAGUUGUGUAACUACAAUCAUCAAUAAAAGUGACAAAAUAGCAUAAACCAAACGAAUACUCUUGACCAGGACUCCAAAAAUUGGAGUGCACUAACUCGAACGGCUAAGAUGCACUACUUAAAAUUGGGUGGGGGGGUGGUGGUUACCCAACUAACAUGUUUUACAAUCAAACUGCAGACUAAAACUAGACAUAAAAGGAAAAUGUCGAAGUACAUCUGUUGAGGGGCGACCGAGGUGACAAUAGUUGCAGCAACAAUAAUCUCAAGCAACAAUAAUCUCAAGGUCCGAAGGUACAAUCCACUAGCCUUACGCCUAGCACCUAUGCAACGUCAGUCUUCCGAUCCUAAAAAACACACAAAGCAAAAGGAAAGAUAACAUCAUAGUCAAGAUCACAGGUAAUAGAGAUGACAAAUAAUAGAUUAUGAGGGAAGCAUGAAAUAUGGUAAACAAUCAGUAAGGACACGGAAGAAGUCAAUGAUGCGCAACCUGAACCUUUCACCUUGGACUGAGAACCAUCUGCCAAAGUGAUUAAAGUGGAUGGAACAAAUGAGGUGAAAUUAAGAAGACACGGAACACCAGUCAUAUGAUGAGUGGUACCCAAAUCAAUAAUCUAAGGACGAGGAGUAGCUAUAGUGGACAAGAGACAAGUAGGACCAUUGUGCUACGCCAAAGUAGCAACGAGGCUCGCAAGAACACCAAGCUGUCCUGCUGCUAUUUCAGCAGGCAAUAGACGGUUUCCGGUUCAGUCCAACCGAGCGGCAGCUGAUUAAUCACUUGAAGUCGGAGAAACCCGGAAGCACAGAAGAUUCCUGCAUCAUUCCGAAACUGGAAAACAUCACCGACUUCAAUCCAGAGGAUUUACCUGCGAAGUUCAAGGGUGAGUCGUUCGCAACUUCAAAGAGAGAGACUCGGGAAGAGAGCAAUAGCCCCCUUUACUCAUGACUCAAAGUGAAUUUCUUAAAUGUGCAUCGCAGAGAAUUCGAUCAUUCCGUCCAAUGAUCGAGAAUGGUGGUUCAUCUGUCCACAGACGCCGAAGCCCCAUAUUCCCAGGAAAACACCAUGCGGUUCUUCUUGGGGUAUCACUGGUAAACCUAGAUAUAUUACAAUUGACGGCAAAAAGAUAGGUUUCAAGAAAAUAUCAAGCUUCCCUGAAGGCAAAGCCAAGAAGGACUGGAUCAUCCAUGAAUAUCAUCUACCCCAAGAUUUUCCCAAUGUAAACCUCAUUUAUUCGUUGCAAUUAAUUAGAUUCAGAAGAUGCAUGAAUUUGAUGACGUAUCACAUGAGAAGUGUGGCAACAAUUAUCUGCAGAAACACUAGAUUUUAAAGUUUCCAAUAGUCCUAAACAAGCAGAGAAACAUUUUUGUGCUCAGUUUCUGCUACAGAAGAUUUGAAUCUUACACAUAUGUAGAGAAUGAUAUUAUUUUUGCCGAAUUUGAGAGCAGUUUCUUACUUUUGAAGAAAAUCUGAGAACUAUGAUGGGAAUUGAUAUAACACGGUCUUUUGACAGCGGAAUGGAAAUAAUGUUCUGUGUCACUUAAUGCGCAAACAAGAUGAAAAGGCUGACAAUUCAACGACAAGAUCAGAGGAUGGGAAAUUCACCCUACUGGAAGCUGAGGAAUGGUGUAAUCAAUCUAAUGAUGAGGCGUGGAGGAAUAAAUCUUCUGUUUAUGCACUCAAUAUCAGAGCGCGUGGAAUGUGUUAGUGACUAAUCAUUUACUUGCAAAUACAGCCUGAAGGGAUAUCACUGGAACUGCACACUAUUUCUUGGCCUCGCCUCAUGCAGCUGCUUCAUCGUGAGCUAGAAUCACUCUCCAUACCUCAGUCUACGAAUAUUGGGAGUUCGCAUGGUAAAGACUUCUCACUGGAAAACAGUCGUACUGAUAAAUCUAUUGAAUUGAAAUCUUCACUUGGAACAACUAAAGAGGAUGAAUGGGUUGAUGCAGUGCCAAAUGCAGAUCUUUCCAAUGCCGAGGUUCAGAAUGGUGAAGAGCCUGAUAAAUCUAUCGAAUUGGAAUCUUCGCACGGACGAACUGAAUGCGAUGUCUGGGCUGCCUCAUUGAUUAUUGAAAAUCCCUCUGAUACCGAAGUUCAGAGGGGUGAAGAACCAAGGUUAGAGAAGGAUCAUCAGGAAACUGCAGCUACAAGUACCGAACCAUGCAUAACUUCGGAUGAAGACGCAGUCAGAGCAAAGGUGAAGCAGUUCCCAAACUUAACCAUGGCGUCUUAUUACUAUUUGACGUGUAUUGCUUGGGAAGUUAAUUAGAUGUGAUUCACAGACACUUUAGAAAACGGUUUAUUUUGUUAAAAUCGGCUUUGAGAAAACAUCAAGUGGAUUCUAUCAGUCCUCUCCGAAAAGGAAGUGAAAUUUCACUCUGAAAUGCUCAUGCAUUGUAAAUUUUUUAGUCAAAUAAUACGAAGAAUGAUGAAGAACUACGGAGCAGAAAAUAUAGUAAAAAAAAUUGCGGCUGAGAUCUUGUACAAGGUUGAAGCAGAUUACUAAGAGGCUGAUUAUGUGAUUAGCGCUUCCAGACAAUUUGAGAACAAAAACAUGAAUUUUUUUUUAUGAGAUAGAGAUAGAGAUAGUGCCUCAGUUAUUUCCGUUGAUGCAUUUGAUCUUAUGCAAUGCUUUGCUGCAGAAUGGCCAAAUAUUUAUAGCGGAGAAUCGCCGAAGUAAAGUCGAACCACUCAAUUGUGUUUUUCCUCCUGAGGAAACGGAAGGCUUCCCAUCGAGUCCACUCCGCAGCUCACGUUUUUUGGACUUUAGCGAAUAUGGGGAUUUUUUCCAUCAACCUGCAGAUCAAGAAAAGGUGAAAGAAGCUCCCAGUUUAGCGGAUUUCGUAUUGCCAUUCUCUUCUUGUCUUGAUGUCCACUGUUGGACCAUUUUAGUUCGAUUAGCGAGGUUCCGGAUUUUCCGGAGUGUCAUAUGUAGAACUAGGGAAAUUCUCCAUUUUUCUCUCCCCUGUUAAUCCUUCUUUCUUUUUGCCUAUCAGCUCACUAUUCGGAACACUAUGGUGGCAGGGACUAGAACACGAACAGCACAAUUUAGGUGGUAAUUCAUCCAAGAGGAGGAGAGUGGACGUGUCUGAGGAAAAUCAAAUUCAGUGACUGCGUUGACCAGAUCAACCACGAAGAGCACAAAAACUUCCACAAAUCCCCCACUGCUUAAUCUAAUUGAACUUGCUCAUUGGGAUUUUCCUGUCGAUCGCCACUUUUAGAGAUAUAGAUAUAUUCAGGAGAUUACACAUAUGGUAAUUGAUAUCUUACUACUUUAUAUAGAAUCUGCAUAUUUUAAAAACAAGCUCAUGUUUUGUUUUUCAACAUAUAUCAAAAAAUAUAAAAAAAUUCAAUAAUUCUCUUUUCCACUUUAUUAUUCUCAAUGUGAUAUCAAGCAAUUAUUGUAUGAGGAAGCAGCCAUUGGGUCUUCAACCAAGGUAGCGUGUAAGCCCGUCAUAUCAUGAAUACCACUAUGGCUGCGCAUGACAAACUUUCUGAAACAUAAAUUGAUUUCUGGCCAGAAAUCAAUUUCUUAAUUUCUAUUUUCCGGACAAAUUUCUGAGCAAAGAAACCCGUUUGAUAACGACUCAAAAUUUAUAUUUCUGAAACAGAUAUCCAUUUGAUAACAGAACAAAAUUUCUAUUUUUAGGAAUAUAAAUUGAUUAGAUAACAACAUAGGAAAUAUUUAAAUACAAAAUAAUAGUCGAAAUAAUACUAAUACAUUACAAAAGUUGAAAAUACAAUUUCAUGGAAUUUCCGGCAUAUUAUUAUCCCUUGCCAUUUUAUUAGCAAUUGUUUUCCUAAGUGUAUUUAUUUGGUUUCCCUCCUCAGUCAAUGUAUCGUUUGCAAGCUCAUCCUACGUAGGUUUAGAAAAGUACUGCGGAAGCAUGAAUAUGGGUACCAUCAAUGGCACCUAUACAACCUUGUCAUUUUAUCAAAAAUUAGUAUUAUACAAGAUUAUCAACAAAAUAAAAUUAAUGGUUUAAAAGAAUAUAUGAGAAUUCUACCUUAAAGUAAUGUUUAUGGUUAGGAACAAAUCAGGGGAAGGUCGGUUUAUUUUGAUUCUCGAAUUGAAUCAAUCCAGUUGCUCAUCCCUAAUUUCUUUAUUGUUGCUCAAUGAACCUUUAAUGGCCCUUGCAUAGCAAAGAGAGAGAUUCUCUUGAAUCUCUUGCCUUCGAAUUAAAAUUCAAGAUUGUGUAACAAUCUAAUUAUUUUGAUUUUGCAUGAAUUUUGAAUCCAUAAAAAAAUAAGAUUAAAUUUUUAGGCACAUUUUUUAUUCAUCUAUUACGUAAGAACUUUUUCUUCAACUGGCCAUGCGUGUGCCUUUUCUAGGAGGAAAGAGCUCCAUUGUUUUUAAGUAAACAUUUAAGAACUUUGGUCGUUUUUGAAAAGUGGGGACCCAUUCGAUUGCCUUUCAUCCUAAAGAGGAAGUUAUCAAAAAAAAAUUUGAAAAAAAAAACACUAACAAAAUAAGAAAAAUAAAAUUAGUAAUAAUUUGUGAAGUUGUGGUUAUGAGUGAAUUAAGUUAGCAAGAAAGUACAAGGUUCUUUAUAUGAUUUGAUUUUAGUUUCUGAUUUCUAUUUCAAAAACUGACACGUUAAAAAUUUCAGUUUCUGAUUUCUUCAAUUUCUCUAUUUCUGGAAUAGAAAUCUGUUUCAAAAAUAGAGAAAUAAAAUUGCGUUACCAAACGGAUUUCUGUUUCAAACAUGUUCCGGGGAACAAAGAAACAGAGAAAUUGAGAAACAGAAAUUUUGUCAUGCGCGCCCUAUAAUAGAUACCAAAAGAUCUUGAGCUAGAAGUCACAUUAGGGGAAUCACCCCUGAAACAAUAGAUGGAGAGCUUGUUGACCUGUGGACUUAUCCACAAACCAAGAAUAAAACACCACACGCUACCACAACACCAUUUAGAGCACUAGAGGGUGAGAUUCAAAGAAACCUUUGCUUUUCAAACUUAUUGUUAGUGGACUAUAUUAAACACAGUUGACUAGAUAGGAACCACAAUGAUAACACCACGAAAAUAGAAGAAUCUCACCCGAAUCACCACAACUUUGUGAUCUAAUUAUCACAUCGCCACAAACAACCCAACACCAACCAAAACACAUCGUCGGGCUGAAGUGGGGGCGUUGACAUCAAUGGAACAAUAUGGGACAACAGAUUUUUAGGGCAUUGACGUCAAUGGGACAGUAGCUUUGUUGCCAAUGAUGAAACAAAAAUAAAGGAGCUUACCGUUGUAGCGCUGCUCGAUUGGAGGCAUCGCCAAUCAACAGUAGAAGGGGCAAAAAAAAAAAAAAAAAACGAUGCCUUGGAUAGAAAGAGCAAAAAUGACGCCUUGGUGCAGCUUACUAGGAGAACUGAAGCUUGUUGUCUUCUCUCACAUAGGAAUCUCAUGCUCUGAUAUUAUGUUGUUGGAAAAAGAAAUAAUACUUGUACGAUUAUAGGCUUAGAGUUAAGCCUUGUACAAUUACACAAAUAACCCCAACUUGCUAACAAAGAAUAAUUGGUAAUAAACCAACAGAUACAUUGGUAUAUAAAGAGUGCGUGUAUUUGUGUUUCUGUUCAAAAAGUGUUCCAGGGAACAGAAAUAGAAAAAAUUAUUUCUAUUUCGGAAAACAAUUUUUUACCAGAAAAACGUGUUUGGUAAACUUGUUCCGGAAAUAAAUAAAUAAAAGAAUAUAAACAUGUUUGGUAAAUUUGUGUUCUUCUUUUUUUGUUUCUUUUAAUUUUUUAAUUUUUUAAUUUUAUUUUUCCUUUUUUAUUUCUUUAUUUCUUUUUUUCUUCUUUUGGCCGGCGGCCUCAUCCAGCCACGGCAAGGCUUGUCGGCCUCCAGCGAGGCUUGGCCUCACCUUGGCUAGGCGAGCUCGAGCUCGCCCAGAUUUGGCGAGGCCGAGCUCGCUCAACCAUCGGUCGCCUGGCGGUGGCUUGGCGAGGCUGGGCAAGCUCGGCCUCGCCCAAAUCUGACAAGGCCAAGCUCGCCCAGCCAUCAGCGAGGCUCAGCGUCGCUUGGCCUCGCCAGGGGGCGGCGACGCUCUAGUGAGAUCGCCGUCUCUCAACGGCGUCGCCGGCCAUGGCCGAGGCUAGUGACCAGCCAAAGAAAAAAGAAGAAGAAAAAAAGAGAAGAAAAGAAAUAAGAGAGAAAAUUUGUUCUUAAAAGUUGUUCCAGAAACAAGAAACAAGUUUUUUUUUUUGUUUCUUAUUUCUGUUCCAAUUUUGUUCUCGGAAACAAACAAAAAAAAAGAUUUGGAACAAAAACGCAAAUAAACACGUUUCUGUUCUUUUUUUUGUUCUCAGGAAAAAAUAAAAAAAUCUGUUCUUGAACAGAAAAGAACACAACCAUGCAGGCCUAAAGAGACCAGGUAGAGUGUACCUGCACAUGUGCAUGGACAGCCCUUAUGUUAAUUGACCAUUAGCAGGUUGAUUUUGUUGUAAAAUAUUGCGUUGCGAAUAUAUAAUAGAGAAGAGAUUGAAAAGAGAAAGCAAGUGAACACUAGAGAUAAUAAAGAAAGUCAGAUAUUUCACUGUAUUGUGAUUGUUGUUCUAUUAUACAUCAAAACUAAACACCUAUUUAUAGGAUAACAAGAAUGUACUUAUUAUUAAUAUCAAUGUAUUGAAUGAUACAUGUACUAGAUAGGGGAGAUGAACGUUCAUUGUAUAGGGAGAUGUACUUAGAAUAUAUGAUACAAAUGUACCAUAAUAAGUACAUUAGAUAAGAUGAAUAUAAUGAAUAUUCAUUCAUGUAUUUCAUAACACUCCUCCUUAAAUAUUCAUCAUAUUCAUUACGAAUGUACAUCAAAUGAUACUGCCUCAUUAAAAACUUUAAGCUGGAAAAACCAAGUGGGAUAAAAACCGGAAAAAAGGGAAAAAGAGUGCAUAACACAAAUGUUAUUAUGAUCUUUCCCUUUUAUGGAUGCAUUAUUUGCCUCGUUAAAAACUUUAAGCCGAUGGGAAAAAACCGGACAUAAAAAAAAAAAAAAAAAAAGAGUGCAAUGCAUAUAUAGCCACUCUGGGGUCUAAUCAUUAUUGCAUUUUGUGAACUCGCCGCAUAUCAAUACCGCAAUGCAUAGUUCAUAAUAUCUCCCCCUCAAUAGAGCCAUAUAGCCACUUCUGGGGCUAAUCAAUAUUAUAUCUUAUAAACUCGCCGUAUAUCAAUGCUAUAUACGAAUUUCUCAAAAGUUGAUGUUGGCAAUAAUUUGGUAAAAAGAUCUGCAAAAUUAUUUAUGGAUUGAAUCCGUUUAACAUCAAUUUGUCGACUUUCUUGAAGUUCAUGAGUAUAGAAAAAUUUCGGCGAGAUAUGCUUGGUUCUAUCACCUUUGAUAUAUCCUCUCCUGACUUGUGCAACACAAGCAGCAUUAUCUUCAUAAAUUAUAGUGGGAAAAUUUGUAACCGAUAUUAAGCAACAAGAAUUAUGAAUAUGUGUUAUAACGGAUCUUAACCAAACACACUCUCUUCCAGCUUCAUAUAAAGCAAUAAUCUCAGAGUGGUUAGAAGAUGUAGCUACUAGCGAUUGCUUCGUAAAACGCCAAGAAAUAGCGGUGCCGUUAUAACAAAAUAAAUACCCGGUUUGAGAGCGAGUCUUAUGUAGAUUAGAUCUAUAUCCAUCAUCAGCAUAUCCAACUAAACCAGAGUUAGUGGAAUUCUUGGAAUAAUAUAAUCCCAAAUUUAUGGUUCCUCAGAGAUAAUGGAAAAUAUGUUUAACUCCAUUCCAAUGUCUCCGAGUUGGCUCAGAACUAAAACGUGCCAAUAAAUUUACCGCAAAAGCGAUAUCUGGUCUCGUACAUUGUGCCAAGUACAUCAAAGCCCCAAUUGCAUUGAGAUAUGGUACUUCAGGACCAAGAAUCUCUUCAUCAGAUUCUCUAGGACGAAAUGGGUCCUUUUGGGGAUUUAGAGACCUUACAACCACAGGGGUGCUCAAUGGGUGAGAUUUGUCCAUGUUGAAACGUUUAAGCAAUCUUUCAACGUAUGCUAAUUGAUGAACGAUUAUUCCAUUUACUUUAUGCUCAAGCUCUAGACCAAGACAAAAUUUGGUUUUACUCUUUAACUUCAAACUCCAUUUUUAAAUAUUCAGUAGUUUCAGCUAACUUUUAUGGAGUUCUAAUUAAAUUUAUAUCAUUGACAUAAAUUGCUAUAAUAGUAAAUCCGAUUUUUGAUUUCUUAAUAAACACACAUGGACAGAUACGAUCAUUAUCGUACAUUUCCUUAAUUAGGUACCCACUUAGGCGUUAAUACCACAUGCGACCGGAUUGCUUUAACCCAUAUAAGGAUCUUUACAAUUUUAUUGAAAAUAAAUUGCGGGGAGUGCAUGCUUCAGGCAUUUUGAAUCCCUCGGGAAUUUUCAUAUAAAUAUCAGAGUCUAAUGAGUCAUAUAAAUAUGCCGUCACAACGUCCAUAAGACGCAUUUCCAAUCUUUCAAAGAUUGCUAGGCUAAUGAGAAAACAAAAUGUAAUCAUAUCCAUCACAGGUAAAUAUGUCUCAUUAUAAUCAAUCCCAGAUUUAUGAGAGAAUCAUUGGGCAACGAGUCGGGCUUUAUACUUGACAACCUCGUUUUUCUCAUUUCGUUUUCGGAUAAACACCCAUUUAUAUCCAACGAGCUUUACAUUAUCAAAGAUACGAGUUAUAGGUCCAAAAACCUCUCGUUUAGUUAGGAAAGUUAAUUCAGCUUUAAUUGCUUCCUCUCAUUAGGCCAAUUUUGCCUUUGACGACAUUCAAUAAUAGAUUGCGACUUACAAUCAUCAUUCAUAAUUUUAUGAGCAACUAAGAAUGCAAAAGCAUCAUCAAUGAUGAUCUCAUUUCGAUCUCAAAUUUCAUUACAAUAUGUAAUGGAAUUCUCGGUAUUCUCGGGGAUAGUGUUCCUUUUAUGGGUUUGCGCUUCUUCAGGGGCAAUAAGCUCUUUGGGAGCAAGCACAACGCCAGGCUCUUCUGGAGUGGAUUCCUGAUUCUUUCCCCCUCAUAUCUGAGAAGCAAUAUCUUUUGAUCCUAUCAGUCUACCACACUUCAAGUGCGGGGGAUUUUGAUCCAUUUUAGCCCGUCCUUUGAGAAUAGCUAUCCUAGUUGAAGCAUUUGCAGCUGGAAUAUGAUAAUAGUGCAAAUAAACGUGCAAAUGUGACAUUGUGCGUAGAUAAUAAGCAAACAUGUGACCACCUACAAGAUGCAUCCACUAAUACCAUAAAAUAUCGAAAUAGUCCACUUAAUAGUUGUAUUGGUCCACAAAUAUCACCAUGAAUUCUUUGCAAGAAUAGAGGAGAUUCAAGAUUAACCUUUGUUAUAUAAGGUUUGAUAAUGAGCUUUCUUUGUGAGCGAGCCUUAUAAUUAUAAUCUUUGGAUAAUAAUACAUUUAUAUCCUUUAAAUUGUGCCAUUUUGUAUUUUGAAUUAUCCUACGCAUUAUUAAAGCGUCAGGAUGACUAAGACGAUCAUGCCACAAUCCAAACUGAUUAGGACUUACUAAUCUCCAGAAUGUGGUGGCGUAGGUUUUAACAGCCUUAAUCAUGACACAAUACAAACCCAUAGAAGAAGCUUCAAGCUUCUCCUGGAUGGUCUUUAGGCACAUCUUAUAAGAGAAAAUGCCAAUAUAUUCCUUAUAUUGCUCAUAAAUAGUCUCAAUAUGGUAUCAAUUACGGCGUACAUCUUUGAAACUGAGCAGAUUCCUUUUUGAUCUAAUGCUUAGAAAUGCAUUUUCAAUAUGCAGAAGUGUGCCAUUUGACAAAAUAAUUGUAACAUUCCCAAUACCAUCAAUAAUCGGAACAUGACCUAAUAUUGUAUGGAUUUGUGCCUUACGUAAUGUCAUACUCGAGAAAAAAUGUCUACUACGAAAUAUAGUAUUUGUUGUUGUAUUAUCAAGCAAACAAACAUCUUCCUUUUUCUCGGUAUUUUCCAUUUGCAUUUAUAUUGACAACUUCAUGUGUCAAGUAUCAUAAAAGUUGCAUAUUAGUUAUAUAGUCGAAUAAAAUUUCAAAAAUAAAUAUUAUAUAAGGUUCAUAAGCAUUUCAUAAAGAACAAUACAAAAUAAUACAUUUAAAGCAAAACAACAUAAAAAUUCGAAGUUCAAAUUAUCAUCCACCAAUCUAAUUCAUCAAAGUAAUCAGAGGUCCUUAAAGAAAUUAGAGAUAUCCAAUGAUGCAUUUGCUAUUUCAGGAGCAAGAGUCCCACCAACGGAGAUAUUGUUAGCCUCAACAGUGGUUAUGGUAGUAGGAUUGAUUUCAAUGGCAUAAGAUUCACCACACAUGCCUGUAUUAUUUAAAGAUGCCUAUUAUAGAUCAACAAAAUGUUUUGGCGUACGACAGGUAUGUGGCCAGUGCCUAGUCAUGCCACAGCGAUGACAAAUAUUUUCAUUAAUAACUUUCUUUGGCUUCUUUUCUUUGCCAUGAUUCAGGCAAAAGUUAGAUUUUCUAGGGCGGUUAAAUUUCUUGUCAUCCCUUCUAGGAUUAUGUUCUUACCUGCGCUUAUAGCCCUUAAAAUGGCCAAUAUUUUUCUCAAAGUUAGCAUGUGCUUCAGGCAAUGCUUUUGAGCCAACAAGUCUAAGAUCAUGAUUUUUGAGUAGUAAUUCAUUGGUUUGCUUGGCAGUAAGAAGCACAGAAAUUAAUUCAUAAUAUAUGGCAAACUAACGUUGCCGGUAUUGCUGUUGUAAUACAAUAUUCGAAGCAUGAAAGGUGGAGAAAGUUUUAUCAAGCAAUUCCACAUCAGCGAGUUUAAUAUCGCAUAACUCAAGCCGAGAAACAAUAUAAAAUAAAACGGAAUUAUAAUCAGACACUGAUUUAAAAUCUUGCAGUCUGAGAUUUUGCCAGUCAUAUUGUGCUUAAGGGAGGAUAACAGUUUUGGUAUGAUCAUACCUAUCAUUCAACCUCAUCCACAAGAUAUGAGGGUCUCAAACGGAUAAGUAUUAAGUCUGCAGUCUCUCAUGCAAAUGACGGCGAAUAAAAAUCAGCGCGUUUGCUUUAUCCUUUUCAUUUGAGGUUCCAUCAUUUAUAAUUGUAUUAGCGAGACCUUGCCCUUGGAGGUGCAUUUCCAUAUCAAGACACCAGGAUAGAUAAUUCUCUCCACUCAUUUUCAAGAUGUGGAAUUUGGGCUUUUCAACAUUUGCCAUAAUCCUUGCAAAAAUAAAUCCUUAUAAAUUAAAAGGAUUUCCAAAUAUCCACCGCCACUUCAAGAGUAGAAGGAUACUUUUAGAUUUGAAAUUUGGCUUUAUGUCAAGAAAAAUAAAAAUGAAGAAUUGAUAGAAGAAGAUGAAGUAUAAUUUGAUUAAUAAAAAGAAUACCCACCUUGCAAAAUAUACUUACUCAAUCAAUAGAUCUUUAUGUUGAUAACGUGUUGUAAAAUAUUGCGUUGCGAAUAUAUAAUAGAGAAGAGAUUGAGAAGAGAAAGCAAGUGAACACUAAAGAUAGUAGAGAAAGCCAGAUAUUUCACUGUAAUUGUGAUUGUUGUUCUAUUGUACAUCAAAAUUAAACACCUAUUUAUAGGAGAACAAGAAUGUACUUAUCAUUAAUAUCAAUAUAUCGAAUGAUAUACAUACUAGAUAUGGGAGAUGAACGUUCAUUAUUUAAUGAGAUAUACUUAGAAUAUAUGAUACAAAUGUACCAUAAUAAGUACAUUAGAUAAGAUAAAUAUAAUGAAUAUUCAUUCAUAUAUUUCAUAACAGAUUUUAAAUCAAACCCCCACUAUAUUAUUGAUAAAAGGGAGAAAGUACAUUAAAGUCUUAAAAUUUGUCACAAAAGUGCAAUUGAGUCAUAAAACUUUUAAAAAGUGGAAAUUAAGUCAUAAAAUUUAUUAUGAAAGUGCAAUCGAGUUAUAAAUCUUUCAAAAAGUGCAAUUAAAUUCUUAAAAUUUUAAAAAAAUGGAAUCAAUCUAAAGACUUGAUUGAAUCAUUUUGACAAGUUUUAGAUUUAAUUGAAUUUUAAUAAAAUUUUAGAACUUAAUUGUACUUUCGCGAUAAGUUCUUACACUUCACUACACUUUUUCAAAAUUUGAGAACUUAAAAUUUCAGUGCACUUACGCUUUAGUAAAACGGAUAGAGAAGUCUCCUGUUGUAAUUAGAGGCAACACAAAGGACACAUCACAGGAGCAAAUCCCGAGAAUUUCCUGAAUAUUGUCAUUGCCAUGUGAGAAAACAGUGCAAAUUUCAGUAUGAGGGGAAAGUAAUAUUAGUUUCAUUCAAGUGAUCGGAUCCAUCAGGGCAAGGAAAAGCAGACGAAAAACCAUCCCUGUCAGCUAUCAAUCACGAUCAAGAUUUUUCUGAUAUCCACGUACAAAAAGUUGGUAACUUCUCAUAAAGACCCUCCCAAAUGGUAAUGGGUUCACGCUCACUUUUCUGCUUCCACAAACUGUAGUGAGUUCGUUACUACCUUGUGUGUUGAGUGAAGAACAGAACGGAAGGAGAUGGGAGCUGUGAUCAUCCCACAGAAUUUGCCCAUCGGAUACAGAGUCCAUCCAACUGACGAGGAAUUCGUAGAUCAUUACUUGACGAACCGAGUCUUAGGAAUCGUAGAGGAUCCCUGCAUAAUUCCAGAUGUUGACAUCUGCAGGUGGGAUCCUUGGGAAUUACCACAGAAGUUUCAUGGUGAGAACAGAUGCCACUAUCACUUUGCUUGCUCCUUUGAUACACUUCUUUGCAGCCAUUAUUUUCAGAAAUUUAGAACCUCAAGUUUAUGGGCUUUUGGGUCAUAAUAUUUAUCAUCAAUCGGUGAAAAUUCGAGGGAAUGACAGGUGAAUCAAUUAUUCGCCCGGAUGACAAAGUACAAGAGUGGUGGUGCUACUGUCUGCAAACAACCCAACAGGUUAAAAGAACGACUCCCUCUGGCUAUUGGAAGAAGACUGGUCCAGACCGGAAUGUCAAGGCCAGAGAUAUCAAAAUUGGCACUAAGAAAACAUUAGUUUUCCACAUACGUCAGGGAUCUAAAGGCGUCAAGACCAACUGGGUCAUACAUGAAUAUCAUCUACUCACCAAAAAUGUACUCAAUCUGUCCCUUGUAUGUUUUUUCCAUUUAAUUAGAUUAACACGAUGCAUGAACCUGAUAAUAUACGAUAUAAGAUUGCCAUCUUACACAGAUAUAGAGAUUGUUAUUAUUCUUGCCAAAUUUGUGAGCAGAAUUUUAUUGUUGAAGAAAACAUGAUCUGAUGGUAUGAACUGGUAUAACAUGGUCUUUUGACAGUUGAAUAGAAACUAUGUUCUGUGUCGCAUAAAGCAUAAAGGAGAUGAGAAGGCUGAUAAUUCUACCGUGGAAUUAGUGUACGAAGCCAGUGGCCUAGAAAAUUUGGAUUCAAUUCUUCGUCAACCAGAUCACGAGGACUUGUUUACUGAGGUGCGGAGGAAAAUAUGUUUGGUUCGUGUACUUAAUAUCUGUCUUAACGAGCAUGGGAAAUGUCUUAAUGACUAAUCUUUUGCUUGUUAAUACAGGAUUUGAUCCAAGCAAAGAUGAUGUCACUGAUGGAGGUCUCUUCUCUGCCCCAGAACCGAGUUCAAUUUGCUUUGCCUGACCUCCUGCAGCAGCCUCAGUCUGCACUGCAAUCACUAAAUAAUAGAUUCCCCUCCAACAUACAUCAGUUUAUGAAUGCCAAGAAUCCUUUUGCGAACUUCUUCUCAUCGGACAAUGGUUGGUUCACAACAAGUGACGAGGAUGAAGAUGCUGGUGACAUGUUUAUUGCAGAUCUUUCUGAAGAGGAUGUUUCUGAAGAGGAUGGAGAUGCUGGGGACAUGCUAAUUGCAGAUGUUUCUGAAGAGGAUGAAUAUGUUCGUGACAUGCUAAAUGCAGAUCUUUUUGAUGCCGACUUCUUUGAUGGAGACCAAAUGCAAACACAGGUCAAAAUUUCUCCCUUAAAAUUUCAUUGGGUUGUUGUGAUUACUUUUCUUGUAAAUUUAGGAGUAAAAGUGGUUUAUAAUGCGUUGGAAGGGCACUUCCCUUUUCCAUGUUAUCUGAAAAAGAAGGAUAAUUUUCUUUCAAUCAUCGUUGUGUAGAACAGAAAGUUCAUUAUAUAAUCUAUCUACGGAAAAAGAAAAGUGGACUUCCAUGAUGCGUUACUCAUGCUUAGGCUUGAAGUGCUGUCAUGAAAUUUAGUUUAUGCCUCAGUUAUUUCUUCUGAUUCAUUUUAUCUAAUGCAAUCUGUCGCUGCAGUAUGGGCAAACAUCUAACCAGCAUAGUGAGCAUCCUGUUCUAAUGGAGAAUCGGCGAACACAAACAAUCGACUCGUUUCACGGUGUUGUUCCUCUUGAGGAAAAGAAAGGCCUGGUGGAGAAUAAGUUUAACGGCUCACUUGUCACUCCUGAGAAACCUAUGGAGCCUCCUGUAUGUGCUGCAAGUAUAAAUUAUUAUGAAGAGCCAAGGUUUGGAAAGUUUAAACAGGAAACUGCAGCCAAAGGUAUCAAACCAGAAUGCGUAUAUUUGGAUGAAACAGCAGCCAAAGCAAAGGUGAAAGCAGCUCCUAAACUAACCCAUUGUCUUAUUACUACUCUUAUGUAUUAAAGGCAUUGCUUGGAUAGUUAAUUAGAUGGUAGGGAUUCCGUUAUUCAUUGCAGCGAACUAUGUUGGAUAUGUGGUUCAUGGGCACUUAAGAGAACAGUUAAUUUUGUUAAAAUCUGCUUCGAGCAAUACAUGAAAUUGAUUCUAGCAUUCUUCUACUAAAAGGAAGUAAAAUCCCACUCUGAAUUGCUUGUAGAUCCUUGAAACGAUAACUUAGAUUCAACUUAAUUAGAAUGGUGGAUAACCACGAGCAGAAAAUAUGUAUAGAAAGAAGUCGCAGCCAAGAUAUUGAACAUGGUUAUAGUAGAUGACUAAAAGGCAGAUUAUGUAAGCAUCCAGACAAUUUGAGAACAAAAACAUGAAUGUUGCUCAGUCAUUUCUGUUGAGAGAUUUAGAUAAUGCCUCAGUCAUUUCUGUUGACCCAUUUGAUCUUACACAAUGCUUUGCUGCAGAAUGGCCAAAUAUCUAUAGUGGAGAAUAGCAAAACACAAACAAUUGAGUCACUCCAUGAUGUUGCUCCUUUUGAGCAAAAGGAAGGUUUCAUGCAGCCUAAAUUCAACAGCUCACAUGUUUCCUCCACCAAAUCUAUGGAGCUUCUGAAAGAGCCCAAGAAUCCAGAAAUUCCCGAGUCUCCAAGAAUUUAUAUCGAUGAAGAACCAAGGCUCGAAAAGGUUAAGAAGCAGGGAAUUGCAUUGAGAAAUGUUAAAACAGAAUGUGUAUCUUUGGAUGAAUCUGCAGCAAAAGCGAAGGUUGAAGAAGCUCCCAAUUCACCGAGGAAGACAAGCAGCAGGGAGAUUGAACAUGCCGGAGAGAAUUCAAAUUCCGUGACUGCAUCGACGAGACCAUCCACCAAGAGCACAAAAAGUUCAACAGAUGCUCCCAUGAGUAAUAUUGUGAACCUGGUCAUCGGGAUUCUCCUGUUGAUCGCCUUCACUUACCUUCACCUGCCAAGUAUUUGAUUUAUGAUUUUCACUGCCAUUUGCCCUGAGUGUGAUGCAGUAUCAUUGACAAGUACGAUU